This 72856-nucleotide long non-coding RNA is filed under the name Sorghum bicolor (sorghum). Its description in RNAcentral is "long non-coding RNA (SBIC_LNC014177)". Lineage: Eukaryota; Viridiplantae; Streptophyta; Magnoliopsida; Poales; Poaceae. The record is from RNAcentral.
UGGGCCUUUCUUCCUUAUUUCCUGAUAACCCCCUGCAGAAAUAGACAAACACCAAAACUCGUAGAAUUCUGUCAGAUAAAACCCUAAGUCUAGGUGUUGGUUGCAUUUGGAUCCUUUUCCAUGAUUAAUUGAUGGUUAAGUGUGAGCAUUAAGGACCGUCAACAAGCUCCCCCAAGCUUAACCUUUGCUCAUCCCUGAGCAAAGAUGAACUCAAGAGUUUCUACAGUGGUUUCAUGCCUUAAAGAUACACAUGCGUUCAAACAAGAUCUCAUCUCUGGGUUAGGGUAAACUUUUAAGAUUUAAAACUUACUCAUUUUACCUUUCACCAUGGGGCUUGUAACCGUCACUUGUGUCUUGAGCAGUUAAAAGAUAGAACGGUCUAGUCAAGCGCCAUGUCUCUUGUUCUUCGAUUAACUAUAGCUCUGGAGUUUUUGUAGAUUUUCAAAUAAAACUCAGAGAUUCCUUGUAUGACUCUCUCUAGUCUCUGUUUUGUGGUAUUUCUGGAUCCUUACCAAGGCAGUAAUGGUGUAUACCUUCUCUCAAAGUAUGUGGUAUUUUUGGUAUGAGGCAUAGUGACAUUGCCUUCUCUCUCACCCUACUCUAAUAAGGUUUUGAUAUCUGGAGCUCAUAGGUGGGAGACAGCUAAUACAUACUUACAAGACAUUUAUUGCAUAGUCAAACUAUGGAUCUAGAAGAACAAGUCAAUAAGUCAAAUCAAGAUGUGCAUGUGUGGCGAAUGAAUGAUGUAUGGUGAUGAUGGUGAUAACAAUGGUGAAAGUCUAAUUCUACUUUUGCUCUUUUGAGGGGAUACAUACCUUCCUUGCUCUUUUGAAACUUUUGGGGAGAAUGAGAUGCUCUAUAUUUUAUUUUUCUUUUCUCUCAGGUGGGUAACUUGUACCCCUAAUUCUACUAUCGGACACUUGUCCAUUUUUACCUCUCGUCUCACUUUUUCUUUUCUUUCGAGGUUCCGGGCACUUGCCCGUUUUUAUUUCCUCGUAUCUCUUUUUUUUUCUUUUUUUUUAUAUUAGAGCACUCAUCUCUUGAAAUAAUGUAGCAAGUGGUAGUAACCAAGAUAACUUGAGCAUUCAUUUCAUAGGGGAAAAACAGAAAUGUUUUUGGCUAUUCUCUCCCGGAUUAGGAGUAGAAUAUUUUUAGGUGAUUCUGGAGAUGGAAAUGGGUGGAUAUAUGUGGAUGCGUACUACCAGAGUAGAAGCAGCAUGUAUGAGUGAACGUGCAAGUGAAUCUUGACUUAACAACAUGACAAGCUCCUAAGGGUCUACACAGCUUGACCACACUCAAUGCUCAUAAGCAGUAAAAAGUAAAUGUGUGGCUCAAAGUCUAGCAAGCAUGUAUAUAUGGCUGUGGUAGGAAUUUAAACUCUCAUCAUACAGGAACUCAUCAUGCAACAUUUUAAAGAUUUUUCAAAGAUAAAUUCUCCAGAAUUCUAGCAUCUCUAGGAACAGAUAAACAGCAGCUCAACCUUCCCAUAUCAUAUCCGUUAACGACUUAGACAUUAGAUCAAGUACUCUCCGCACAAGUUCAGGUUUAGAGCAAAUCUUAAUUAAUAACAGUCAUGCCUAAACUUGAGAGAGAUUUCAAUUUUGAUAACUAGUCAUGGUAGAGCAACUAUUCAUCAUUUCCAUGUGAGAGCUUAUCAUGAGGGUUCAUAGCAAACUUUAUUUAUUUAUUUAUUUAGCAAACUAAGCAAAGAUAUAUAUAAGCACAAAAUCUUUAUUUGGGUUUCGAUGAUUAUGCAUCAUUUUAUUAUUAGAGUAAAGUAUAAACGUGAGUAGAAUACUUAGCUGGAUAAAUGGUGGUGCUCUCCCCCAAGCUGGAUUUUGACAUAAUUUCUUCUGAUGUAGGAGGUGGUGGAGGUGUAUUUGAAUGUCAGCAGCACCCUGACAGUGAUUAGGAUCUCCUCCGUCUGCUAUUCUUCUUUGAUCCUAGAAUUCUGUGGAUCUCAAAUAGACAACAAAGCUUUGUGGAACUGGUUAAGUGUUAGCAUAAAUAUCUAGCCUUCAUCAUGUUGAGGCUCCUUAAUAAAUGUUACUCACUUUAGUAGGAUCAUAAAUUUAUUUUUAUAAUUUUAUUUUUAUAGGACAGGAAUAUAUUUAUUUUAUUUUUACGCCACCACACUGAAUGUACUUAUGGGUUUUAUGCCAUGAGCAUACUCACAUGGGGCUUACUAUUUUUAACAUUUUUAUUUUCUUUUCAAGAUGAUAUGAACCUGAUUAACUAAGCAAACUAUUUUAAAUAAUUGAAAGGGAAAAGAUAACUACCAAGUUUACCUCUUGGCAAGGCGUUCGGUGUUUUUAAGUCCUCCGAACGGGACUCUCCAUUUUCUCAGUCAUUCUAGGAUUCGCUGGAUGGCGUAGUCGGUGGUUCCGACGGUGCUUCCUCUUCGUGUAUAACUAUCUUCUCUUUCCACACCUGACUCGGUGGUACGGUCUCCUUACGACAGUUCUGUUCAAGUUGUAUGUCUUCCGACCUUACAACUUCUCCUUCAUAGUCUACCCAUCCGUCCUUGAUGAUUUGCCUCCUCUGGUUGCGGUUGCGUUGUCUUCUUCUUGUCCUGACCUGCUUAGAGUCUUCAACUAUAUAGUUAGGGUCGGUAAAAUAGCAGUGUACCUUCUCAGAGGGGAAAUGCAUGUGGACUUCGCCGGUUCUAAUGUAGAUGAUUGCUUUAACGGUGCUGAGGAACGGUCUCCUUCAACCUUUCGGAAUGUCGGAUCUGCCAUCUGGAGCUUAAUGUAUGUCGGUUUUUAGGGGCAUGGUUCCAAACAGGAGUUGAUAGGUGACUACGGCAAUUAUGUUGAUGCCUGAUCCGGUGUCGCAAAGCAUCUUCUGGAAGUUGUAUCCAUUAAUGGAGCACUGGAUGCUUCGCAUACUUGGGUCAUCCUUUUUGGUCAGGAAUGGUGACUUAAGUCGAUGAUCUUGACCUCCUUGAACUGCAGUGACCAUCUUAGCUGACUCGGUCCACACUUGCUUGUUCCUGUUCCUCCUGUUGGUCCUCUUCCUUGGUUCAUGUAGGGAAUGCUCUGAGAUUUGUGUAGUCUUGUUCUUGAAGGAAAACGUCUCAUUCCUCCCUUUGAUGUAGAAACUGAUCUUGGCAGCACUAGCGUAGAUGACAGCUCCCGAGGUGUUCAGGAAUGGCCUCCCUAUGGUGAUGGGUGCCCUCUCAUCAGUACCAGUUUCUAUCACCACGAAGUCUGCUGGGGCGUACAAGGGACCAACUCGGACGCAGAGGUUCUUCAAAAUUCCCUUUGGGAAACUUAGCGUACGAUCUGCAAGCUGCAAACACAAGGCAGUUUCUAAUAAAGGAUGUGUAAAGAAUUUUUUCAUAGAGUACCCUGGGUAUAAUGUUGACGCUGGAGCCAAAGUCACAGAGUACUUCUGGGAAGUCCACCAUGCCGAUGGAGAUCGGGAUGACGGCGCGUCCUAGAUCGCCUCUCUUGACCGGCAGAAGGUCAGUAAUUACUUCCACGGGUUACUCCAGUAGUUAUGUCCUCAAGCAUCUCAGGGCAGUGAUUGUCUGAGUGUCCAAUCUCUCCAGUGUGUUUGUGCUCGUAGAUCUAGGUUCUUCACUUGGUGGAGUCUGGGAGUUGUAAAAGUCCUUCAUAUGCUGCUCGAAGUGUACCUGCUCAUAGAGACAAGGCAGAGAUCAAGUGCAUGGGCCCUGCUGGUGGAAAACACCAACAGAACCAAAAGUGUAUUUGUUCUUCUCUAACCUUAAGCAUAGUGAGCAAGACAAAGUUGAUGGAUAAUAAAAUCAUGAGUGUAGUAUUUAACAUUUGUCAGAUUAGAUUGCUCAACCUUAUGGAAAGAUAAUCUAUCUAUAUAUAUGUUUUGUUUAUAUCUUUCAAAGAUUGAGUGUGCAACAUUUUAGCUAAUAUGAUUAGGAGUGUGGAAUCACAAAGGUGGAAGUUCUAAACAUGUUGAAUCGAUUGGGUUGGUUAAUCUAGAGUUGUAGAUCAUACAUGUUUGUCUCUUUUAUUCAUGUGAACGCCAGAACCAAGGAGAAGCUUAUAGAAGUGAUAGUCAAGUACUUUAAGAUGUUACCUUACUUGAAGAGUGAUGGUACAGUAUCACCUUGUGGAAGCUUUCCUCUCUUAGCGGUUGUGCAUUGUGUUUGUGGCACCUCCAUGGAUCAUCUCUUGUGAGCUAUGCUUUCCUUGUGUAAAUUGUUAAACUUCAUGUGUCUCACUCUUUGUCUCCAAUGUGAGUUUAUCUCAGGACUUCCCAGGUUGAUAUUGAAAGUUUUCCUACAGGGGUUAGUCCAACAAAAUAUCCCAUAUCUGCUAUAGCAUACUAUCGGCUCAAAAAUCAACCUAGACACCAUGUCUAAUUUGAUUUAGGAGGGCAUUUUAACCUAAACAUCAUGCUUAAUUUAAACUCCCUUGGAAGUAAGAUCAUCAGCCCUAACUAAGCACCAUGCUUAAUUAAGAGAUAAAUGAAACUACUCCAAACCUAGACAUAUACUAAAGCAAAUAAAGGUAGCAUGAGAGCAUUUAUAGAGAUCUACUCAAGUGGAGAUGAAGUAGUGUGAUUAGUAAUUAACAAAUUGAGCAUGUCUCAAAGGUAGGGACAACCAACAUAGCAACAUGGCAAAGGAUGUUUUUACGUAAAGUACUCCCCCAAGCUUGAAUUUUGCAAAAUUCAAGUUUGGAUGAAUUUAAUUCAAUGUUGUAUGAUGAUUGGUUGUACAUACCUUGUGCUUGUCAUUCAUUCGAUCUUCUUGCUCCAAUCCUGGAAAGGUUAGUGACAAGAAUACCCGAAGGAAUUUUUUACAAUUAUCCUUAUAUUCUCAAUACACAAGGUAAUGUUGUAAAUAAUUAAAAGCUCAUGUUACGAUCUAAUCAGUGCUUUAUUUUAGGACACUAAGCUUGUCCUUGGGAAACCAUCAAUUUAAGUCAGUGAAGUGGUUUCCCCUCCAACGCUGACCUAUAUCAAGAUCAACUCAACGAGAUCUACAAAAUUUCUUAUAGACAUAUGCAUCGACAACUGCCCUAUUAAAAUUUUUAUAAAUAGAAAGGAUGAGGGGGGUUGGAGAUCUCGAAUGUGGUGAUGUUAGAAAAACCAAUGGAUUGGGAAGAUGUUGCAAAUGAGCAUGGAGCAAAUGAAGUGGCUAUGAAAUAAAUUCCAUGCUCAUUAAUGCUAAGAGUGAAAUCCAUGUGGUGUGGUGAAAAUAGUAAGGUGAGUGUGGUAAAAAAGGAAAAGAAAAAGGAUACACAGACGACUUGGUUCGAAACUAGCACAGCUACCGUUCCCCGGCAACGGCGCCAGAAAGCUUGUUGGGUAUUUUAAACGCAAACAGAAAAAUCCGCAAGCGCACGGAUACCGAUGUAGCUUUCACCCAGGAGUAUUCCAGAGUAUCGAUUCUCCACAGGGAACGUGAGUGUACUACUUUAAGAUCCAAGAUCGCCCAAGGAUAACUCUAUAAUUAUUUUUGGUGGGAAGAGAGGAAGUUUCCUAAGAGUUCUCUAGUUGAUCUAAGAAUCAAGAAUUACUUCAAGAUUAUCUAUAUCGGGACAUCAGAGCACUAACCACAGAAAGAGAUGAGAAGGGGGAUAGGAAGGUCUGACUACGGUCCUACAAACACCGAUCCGAAUGUGGUGGAAUACGUUGACCGUUAGGGCUGUCACUACCCUAAGGCUACCACAACAAUCUGCAGGAUUGGGUGCAAUUCCAGGUAAUUGCAAGACUAAACACCACGUCUAAUCUAUUAAUUACGACUCUAGCGUUAUAAAGACUAGAGCACUUGAUGCAAGCGGGAAUCCAAUAAAUAACUUGAAUGUAAAUAAAAGUAAUUAAAGAACUCAGGAAUUAUGAAUUGAAGAACCUGGAGAACGAUGAAGAACGAACCAGAUGCUGCAAAAGUAUGAUGUUGAGGAAGAUCCGACAGAUCCGGCUCCUCCUCCGCUCUCCUCUUCUCUCUCCCUAUUUUCUAGAUUACAACUAGAACUAACUAGAACUAGAACUAGAGGAACUAGAACUAGAACUAGAUGAACUAGAACUAGAUCUAGAUGAACUAGAGGUAGAACUAGAAGAACUAGAGGGAUCCUCUCUACUUGGAUGAAGGAUUGAAACCCUAACUUUGAUUCUGUAGAAGAGGUAUGAUCUCCAGGGGGCAGGAGGUCUGGUUUUAUAGUCUCUUCAAGUGAAUAUGGGCCGUUGGAUCAAAGUGACAUUAAUCGCACGGUUUUCCUUGAUCCUUUAGGUUGGUGGAGUGUUGUCCCCGAAUUGGACUCUGUUUGGUGGAAAAAGGUGGGUGGGCGCCCUCAGGACUAGGGCGGGCGCCCUUUCCCUGAGGCCUCUCGGCUUUCGCUUUGUUCCCGUGGCUUCUGGAGUCUUCUAGAUGAUAGAAAAUUGCGCGGCACGUUAAUAUCUCUAUGUAAACCCGACGUGUGGGCCUUUCUUCCUUAUUUCCUGAUAACCCCCUGCAGAAAUAGACAAACACCAAAACUCGUGGAAUUCUGUCAGAUAAAACCCUAAGUCUAGGUGUUGGUUGCAUUUGGAUCCUUUUCCAUGAUUAAUUGAUGGUUAAGUGUGAGCAUUAAGGACCGUUAACAGGUCCCAUCUUCAUCGGUGGGCUGCUUGCCUUUCCUUCCAUCACAGCUGAAGAAGGCACCGAUCGCUUCCUCCCCUGCUGCGUAAUUUGCCACUACGUCCAUCAACUCAUCGACGGUCUGAGGGCGAUUCCGACCCAACUCCCGCACCAAGUCUCGACUGGUGGUACCAGAGACAAAGGCCAGGAUGACGUCGUGGUCGGGGAUAUGCGGUAGCUCGGUGCGCUGCUUCGAGAAGCGUCGAGCGUACUCUCGAAGAGUUUCUCCUGACUUCUUCUUGCACUUGCUGAGGUCCCACGAGUUCCCAGGCCGUAUGUAGGUCCCUUUGAAAUUACCCUCGAAAACCCUAACCAAAUCGACCCAGUCGUGAAUCUGAUCAGCUGGGAGUUCUUCGAGCCACCGACGGGCGGUGUCGGAGAGGAAAAGCGGUAGCUGUGUGAUGAUGGCUCGAUCAUCUCCUCGAGCGCCUCCUAGCUGACACGCCAGCCUGAAAUCGGCCAGCCACAACUCAGUUUGGUUUCACCGUUGUACUUUGCGAUGCUGGUUGGGGGUCGGAACGUACUGGGUAGGGGCGUGUUGCGGAUUGCCCUGCUGAACACCCGUGGGCCUGGUGGCUUGGGGGCCAUCCGGUCCUCAUCGCUGUCGUACCUCCCACCGCGAUGUGCGCUGUAGCCGCGCUCUUCUGCGUCACCGUGCCGAGAGCGUUGAUUCUCUUCAAUGUCGCGUCGUUCGUCGUGUCGACGUUGGUUGUCGACGGGGAGGACGAGCGUGGUCUUUUUUGCUCGGGGGGGUGGCUGUUGAUGGACCGACACCUCCUUUUCGUUUUGGGCUGGCUCAUCGCGCUUUUCAGUGGCAGCUCCUCGACGUUGUGAAGCCGAGCUUUCGGCUUGUUGAACUGCCGCCACUUGGAGCAGAGUUUGUACCUCGUCUCGAAUGCGUCGAGCUUGGGAGUUCGAUGGUUCUGGCAUGUUGCGCAGCAGCAUUGUCACUGCCACUACAUUCUGGCCUGCUCGAGGGAAACGGCUGACGGGCUGUUCUGGCUCUGCAUCUCUAACGAUUUGCCGGUGUACCUCUCGAGCUCGUCUACGGACACUUCCGCCAGGCGGGUAAGGCAAGUCUUGCUUGAGGAUUUGCUCGAGCAGGACAAGGCGCUCAUGAUCCUCGUCAAGCUUUGUCUUGAGUUCUCGUAGCUGCGCAAGUUGCGCGGCCCUGUCUUCCUGUGGAAGUGGGUCAACCUGUCCGUCGUUCCCAGGCGUCCUUGGGUCUUCUCUUGCUGCAGGGGCUCGACUACCGGCAGCCGCGUCCUGCGUCUCAUCGGUAGUUUCUACCGCCCCGUCGACGUGAUAGCAUUCCCUAGUAGGGUCGUAGCUAUCUGUCUCGGAGUCGGUGUCCGGUUUGGCGGCGUAGAAACAUCCACGUCCCUCCUCCAACAGCUGCUGCCUGAGCGAGGUGAUCGUGUAUCGCCCAGGGCCUAGGCGUCGGAGGCCUCGUACCUGGGAGAAAUCUGGCAGCUCGGACGUCGGCUGCUGUGCUUCAGAGUCACGUGGGAGGACCAUUGGUCUCUCUACGUACGUCUGGGCGUUUGGGCAUAUCGCCCUGGCGAGCGACGCCGCGGCGUUGUCCAAUCCGAUUGGCAGCGCCCUUUUUGGAGUGAACAACCCAUGUGGAAGUAACGUAGCAAUGGGGGAGAGCGCACGGGGCCCGUCUCCUCUUGUCGUUGUGCGAUGCUGGGCCGGUAUGCCCACGGUUCUGGCACGCGGCGCUGCCGGCUCCUGUGUCACUUCCUGCUUAGCGCGAACUGCCGGUCGUGACGGUGCAGAGGGGUGACGAUGAUGCUGUCCACGCCUCUUCUUGGGUGGGGAGGCGUGGUGUCGAGGGCGUCUCGGGGCCCUCAACCACGCUGGCGCAACGCGUGCUCCUCCCGGUCCUUUGAUCGAGAGCAAGAUCAUGUCAUAGCCGGAGCCAGUCGACAUGAACUCAAGGCUCCCAAACCAAAUCACCGUGGAGCGCGGAAUCGGUGAAGCGAGGGUGGGCAUCUGGAAAGGAGUGGGAAAUCGAUGAAAAAAACCACGCAGGACCCCUACCUGGCGCGCCAACUGUCGGUGUUUUCCCCACGGUGGGUCACACCAACUAGUAAAUUUGUAUGCGUGCUCCUGUUUCCAGAUGGUGAUGCAAGAAGACACAAAGAUUUAUCCUGGUUCGGGCAAGAGAAGGCCCUACGUCCAGCGGGGGAGGGAAGUUUGUAUUAUCUUGCACCUAAGUGCUUGUACAGGGGCAAAUACAAGUGCGUAUGAGCUGGGAUGGAGUAUGGAGACUCCUUUACAUGUGUGUUGUGUUGCGUCAUUUGAUCAUUCCUGGGUCUCCCCUUUUAUAGUUCCAAGGAGAGGCCUAGGGUACAUGUAUAGGUGACAGAGUAGGGGUCGAUAGAGGCAUGGCGCGCUGACCUACUCGAGGCCUCCGUACCGGCGUGGUCUCGAGCCGUCCUGUCCUGGUAGCUUGAUGAUGAUUACGCGUGCCCUUAUAUCCCGCUCUGCACGCCGUCUUGGGCCGGUCUGUCCGUUGCACGCCUGUACGUCAUGGCGGCUGAUACGUCAGAGUGGUGGCAGUGCCGUCAGUCGACGCCCAACCCUUCCCCAGGAAGGAAACAUGUCCGGUUGAGGGUCGGAUGCCAUGUAGUGCCUUGCCAUCCUGAGUAUUGACUUUUGGCGUCUCGAGGGGGUCCUGACUAGACGUUCCAUCUCGGUUUCCCGCGUCCUGACGCGCUCUGGGUCAUCUGGUGGGGAAGGCUGCAAAAAGAAUGACAGGACGGGUGCCUGUUCCCCAUCACGCUUCCCGUGACUAGCGUGUUAGGUGGGAAAGCGACAGGCGCAUUAAAUGUUUGGGUUCUCGUGCGCGCGUCAGGCGGCGGGCGAUGUCCUUGCGCUCAACGCCUCCUGGUUCGCUCGAGCCCAUUUCCGUAUUCGACGGUAGUUGACGCUCGACCCCUGAGCGGUUCGCUCGACGCCUUAUCGAUCUUCGAGGCUGCAGCCGUCGAUGACUGUAUGUAUGGCUGAUCAGAACGUCGAGUUGAGGGCCUCGAUCUGUGUAAGGGUAAUCUCGUUAUGUGCAUCAGUUAGGAUACCCCUUACUGAUACCCUCGACAAGCCUUGAGCGCCUACAAAAUUGGAAGUCGCAUAGGGAGUCAGUAUUGCAAAAUAGAGCAAAAAACACUUCACAACGUGGGAGGAAGCCUUACCUGGCCAAGGUUGUACAUGUCUCGGCUCACGAGCUCAGAAGCUCGGUUGAUGGCCUCGACGCUGGCACGCCCGCAUGCGUCCAGACCCUGCCAGAGGUAAGCCUCCGACGGGUCGUCCAGAACAAAUCUGGCCCUUCCCUCCACGUCGUCGAGGUUGGGCCAGAAUACGGGGCUCUUGCCCCAUCGGGCGUCGCCUUCCCCUCCUGCCGUGGGAGCCUCGGGCGCCGUGUUGGACGCCACGAUGGCCCGACCUUCCUCAACCUGCACGGGCCGAACCGCGCCUCCCAGAUCCGCAUCCGCUGAAGGAGGCAUAGCCUCGGGGGCAGGAGCCAUCUCCUCUGGCCCUUGGGGCAUUUGCGCCCCCGUCUCCUGCCCCCGACGGCGCUCCCCCUCCUCGCAGCUCAGAGGGGGCGGCGACUUGGGCCUCGCCGACCCAGGGGUCUUCUGCGCCCCCCCUCUUCACGGCCUUCAGGGGAGCCAGCGCCACUGGCAACGCCUUCUGCUUUCGGCUGAACAAAAUAACACGAGUCAGAAGAAAGAGAAAACAAAAAAUCAACGGCAAGAUUAGGAAUCCUAUACGCACCUCGCCCGGGGAGUGGCCUUCUUCUGGGAGCUCGGAACUCCCUGAGGACCUCCCGAAACGCUAGGGGCCGUCGGCCGGACCCCCGUCUCACCAGCGGAUGGCACGAGGGCUACGACGAUGGUCUCGGCCUGCGUCACCUCCACCGAGCCGCCGGCUUCUGUCCCGGACGCUAGGCGGGGCUCGGCUAGGCCCUCUGGCGCUACCGGUUGAGGGGGCGCCUCGGAUUCACCCCCCGACGCCUUCUCCCCCUCCUGGGGACCCUCGGGGACUGAGCCCUCCUGAGGGGUGCUGUCCUCGUCAUCUACAAUAAUGUGGGGGACGGAUUGGCCGCCCCCCAGUGCUUGGGACCCCUCGGGAGCCUCCGACCCCCCUCGGGCCUUUGACCCCUCUGGGAUCUCAAUCCCCCCACCGGUAGGGGGGAUUAUGUCGUCCUCCUCCGCCAUCUCAUCGAGCCAGUCGACAUUGCAUCCCCCACCCUCAAUCUCCAAGACUGAAGUCUCAGGAGAGUCGGGCGGGGCGACCCCUGCCUUCUCGGCCUCGCUGUGGUUCUUGGCGGAGAUCUCCCACCACUGCGCCUUCCUGGCGGCCUUUGCCUUCUUGUCCUCCUUGGCCUUCUUCUGUUCUUUGUUCCGGGCCUGAUUCUUGGCCCGGAUCUCCUUGUCCUCUGGGACAGGGGUUAGGGAAUCCCUGACGAUCCCCAUCCUCUGCAAACAAGCGGCGCUCAAGAAAAAGGCUGGGAGAAAAAGGAAACAAGUGCAAAAGUCGACAUCUUACCCGAGAAAUACAGCCCUUUUCAGGGCUCAUCGGCACCACCCGGGAGUUCUUCAUAUCCGGGUGCGUCGUCCUCUCCACCCGGGCGGCGAUGUCCGAUGCCGAUAUCGGCUCGGCCAACAUUCUCGUCCCGGCCCAGGGGACGUCCUGGGUCAUCUCGAACAUGAACGCUCGCCACUGUGCCAACGGGAGCAGACUCCUCUUGUGGAACACCGUCGCCACCGUGGCCACGGUGACUUCGGCGUCGCGCAGCUUCUCGAGCCCCGAAGAAGUGGGGCGAGUCUCUUCUGCUCCUCCGUGGGAGCACCCCACACCCACUUCUGGGGGGACUCCGUCACCACCUUCCCGGUGUAUGCCGGGAGUAGCCCGCCGUCAUUCUGGAGGUAGAACCACCCGUUCUGCCACCCCCAGUUCGACGAGGGCAUCACGCUCCAGAUGUACUGCCCAGCCCGCUGCUGGCGGAGCUGCUGCGUGCAACCGCCGACUCGUAGGGGGAUCUUCUCCCCUCCCACAUAGCAGGCGGACAUCUCCGCCUUAAAAAGAUGAAGCCAGAGGUUCUAGUGGGCAGGAACCCCCAGAAACCCCUCGCACACCGUGGUGAAUAUGGCCGCCUGCAUCACCGAGUUAGGGUUGAGGUUGUGUAGCUCCACCUCAUAGUGAUGCAGGAUCGCCCGCAUCAAGCGGCUUGCCGGAGUCCCGAACCCCCAGUCUAAGAACGACAGGAAGCAGACCACAUAGCCCUGAGGCGGGUUCGGCUCCCUGUCGGUCGCCGAGGGAGCGAUCCACUCCGGCUGCCUGGCAUCCGUAAUGGGACGGAGGAUCCCAGCCUUCACGCGCGCCUCCAGCGCGGACUUGGUGACGUUGCAGGGCGGCCACGCAACAUCGCCGGCCAUGGCUUUGGGUUAAGAAGGGCGUCCGUGCGGCGAAGGUGGAGAAGACGGCAGCAGGAGAGAAAGCAGGAGGCGAGAGCUUUUUUGCGCAGGAGCAGGAGGGAAGAAACCAAGUCCCUGCGGCCGCUUUUAUAGAAGGAGCACACCACGGCCACACCGCAUGCGCAGAAGGCCAAAUGGGAAAAAGAGCAACCGUCGCCCACUUCACACCAGGUGAAAAAUUUGAAGCGCCAACUCCCUCAGAUUCUCACGCCCGCCGCACUCGCACAUUAAUUUCGCAGGCGAAACGUCCCAUCCGGUCAGGGCACAACGGCACGGCCGUUUCGAGUUCCCACGUGCCGCGCCUCAAAAGGAGCGUUUUGAAAAGUCAUGUCAGGGCGGUUCCUUCCAGGGCAAGCGGCGCUCGACCCCCCGCUGACCAAGGUCGCAGGGCGGUCCCCGUCGGGCGCAGUCUCCGUCUCGCCCGACCCCCUGCUAACCCCGAGCGAAAAUCGCAAGGCGGUUCCCGUCGGGCGCAGAUUCCGUCUCGCCCGACCCCGACACUACAAACAAGUCUGAAAAAGCCUUUCGAGGCCAAAAAUCCCGAGGCCGUGGCCACCUACAUUCUAGAGGUUGCGAGACUGACCUGCAAAACAGGUUCAAACAGUCGCCUCACGAUGACUGAGCGAGGGAUGAUUGAAGAUGAGCACAACAGAGGCCAAGGUCCGAGCCCCAUAGGGAGUCGGCGCAUCUUUUCCAGUCAUAUCCGAGACCCAUGCGGGUGUCACGCGAGUGGGAUCCCAUCGAGGGAGGCAUCGAGCCCUCGGAACCUAACGAACGGUUCCGACGUCCACCGUGACUGCCCUCGGGUAUUUUUGAGAUGUGCCCAUAAGGCCACUAGCCAACCCCUAUCGAAUGGAACUCGGACAUCUACUUGGAUCUACCCGCUUACAGCUCCCGGGAAACGUCGAUACUCGCCCAUCGAGGGUAGUACGGCGCAACCCACCCCUCCUCCGAGCGAAAGGAUGAAUGAGGGAUGUAAUUACUAAGAUGAGAAAGAACCUGAUCGACCCUUAUGGGGAAAGGGCUCGGGGGCUUCCUUGCACCAGGGGAACAGGCUCUACAUGUAGAGAACACGCAACCUAUCCCUCAAAUACUCCCGACCGCAUCACUCAGGGGCAAAAGCCUUUGAAGGAAUAAACACCAUUCCUCCAAAAGGCUCGGGGGCUACACCCGGCGGGUGCGCUUGAGCGCACCCUCCAGAGAAAAAUUUGAAAGUUCCCGAUCAACAAUGGUCCCUUAGAAGAGAACCUUUGAAGAGGUGACCUCACCCCCUCAAAGGCUCGGGGCUACUGUUGGGUACCAUAAAAAGGGAUACCCAAAUCGGAGCAAUAAAAAAUGCAAAGGACAAAGCAAAUUAACCGCAAUCACCAAGGCACAGGCCCAGCUCAUCUGACUCCUGGAUCUCAGGACCUUACCACGACUCGCCCGACCCCCUGGGCCUCGGAUGCAAGCUCCGCCUCGCCCGACCCCUCAGGGCCUCGGACGCAAGGUCCGUCUCGCGCGACCCAGGGGCUCGGACGUAGACACCGCCUCGCCCGAUCCCCUCGGCCUCGGGCGUAAGUUCUGUCUCACCCGACCCCUCCAGGGCACGGGCGCCAAACGCCGCUCCACCAGAUUAGGGCAAGACUUCCGACGCACGGCGCCCGUACCCACGACGUGACAGGCGCAGUAACUCCCGUAUCAUAGCAGGGCAUGGUGGUGAUUAUUCCAACCACCCUGGUCACUGUAGCCUUACCUCUUUCACUAUGCAACCUUACCUCUUUUACUGUGGUGUACCGCCUCACAGUGAAAGAGGAAUGGGGGAGAUUAACCAGCAUCACUAUUGGCUGUCUUCUCCCACUGUUAUAGGACAAGCUACAAUAUCACCGAUCUGACCCCCAUGACUUCAACAGGGCUCGGUAACCCUCCAUAGGAGCAGCCAUGCUGUCAGCCAGGCCUCAAGGACGAGGCGGGCAAGCUUCUACAGGGUCGGGGCUGUAGUUUCACCACUCAUCGGAGGAAAAUCACCCAUCACAUAUGUAAAAUCCUGCGCCCCCUUGAGACUAUAAAAGGGGAGCCAGGGCUCACAACCGAGACAGGCUCACAAGGUUCAUCCACACACACACGAUUACCACACUCACUCGCAGAGUAGCAACCAGCGCUCUGUCCACCACAAAGCCAAGACCUGGGACUUAGCCCUCUCUCGCAACCUGCUUGUACCCCCCUACUACAAGCACUUUUGGGCGCAAGGCUAUACAGAUCCCCGAUCUCACUGGACGUAGGGCAUUCUUGGCCCGAACCAGUAUAAAAUCUCUGUGUUCCACUUGCAUCACCACCCAGGCUUAGGUAGUCACGCAAACUUAUACUUGUUUGUGUCUAGACCACGAGUCUAGACGCCGACAAUUAUGCUUCUUGGCAGUUGAGAAAACAUGAAGUUAACUAUCCGACUCACGACCUUGAGCAGCAGCUGUGGUGCACGCUCUGAAAAUCUGGAGGCAUUAUCUGCUAGGGAAUAAGUGUCAUAUCUACACAGAUCAUAAAAACCUGAAGUACAUCUUCACUCAAUCCGAGCUGAAUAUGAGGCAGCAAAGAUGGUUAGAGCUGAUCAAGGACUAUGAUCUCGAGGUCCACUAUCACCUAGGCAAGGCUAAUGUGGUUGUGGAUGCUUUAAGCCGUAAACCACACUAUCAAGUGGUCCAGCCGUUGUUUGAAGAUGGUUUCAAUCUCAUGCAUCCUGAAGUUUUAUGUCACAUACAGCUUAGUUGUUCACUAGAGAGUUGUUGAUGGUUCUUAAGUAUUAAUUUUAAUUAUCAAAUAAACAAGAGAAAGGACCAAUAUACAAACAACACCUAGAAUUAGGGUUUGAUCUGUCAGAAUUCCACGAGUUUUGUUGUUUAUUUGUUUAUGCAGGGGUUAUCAGGAAAUAAGGAAGAAAGGCCCACAUGUCGGGAUUACAUAGAGAUAUUAACUCACCGCACAAUUUUCUACCAUCUAGAAGACUCCAGAAGCCACAGGAACAAACGGGAAGGUGAUUGGGCCCGGGGGCAGGUGCCCGCCAACCCCCCUAGGGAGCCCGCCUAGGUGUUGUGUCCAAUCCCGUCCAACUUCGCGGAUCACGCUCCACCGACCUAAAGGAUCAAGGAUAACUGUUCAGUCAAUGUCGGUUUGAUCCAACGGCCCAUGUUCACCUGAGGGGACUAUAUAAGCAGACCCCCUAGCCCCUGGAGGAGAACAUGUUCAUCAUAGAGUUGAGAGGAGCCCUCGAAGCAUAACCUCUCCUCUAAAUAGACUUAGGGCUUAGCAUCCAAUGUGAGUAGAAUUAGUUCUUCUAAGUUCUACUAGAUUGAGAGAGAUAGAGUGGAGGUGUAGAUCGGAGGAAGCUUGGCCUGUCAGUGUCUACUCUGAGGUUGUACCUGCGGGAUCAAGUUCUCCUAACCCGAAGCUUGCUCCUAGGAUUCUUCAGUAUUUCGACUUCUAAAUUCUAGUAAGUUCUUGUUUUAUUGUUCGUUGGUUUAUGAGUUUACUUAAUCUCUUCGUGUAGAGUUUAGAGUAAUCAUCUCUAUCAUAGACGUGGUGUUUGGGCUAGGAUACUCAUAGAUAUUCCCUGACUAGCUGGACCGUGGCAGUAGCGAGGAACGUGACAUUUCCGAGUUACCUUUGCAGCCCAUAUCCCGUUAGUAGGAUCGAUAGGGUUUAUAGGUGCGGGUUGAACAUCCUCUGUGGUGUCUAGAUUCUGUGAGCCUCCCCAAUAGAACAGUAGAUUAUCCUUACCAAGGUUAGAAAGAGAUUAUGGUUGUAAUCUUCUCUAUAUAUCACUGACAUCGAGAAACAUUCUUUGUAGCCUAAAGGUUAGUAGUAAUAGACUGGGUAAGUCAGAUGCACUCUUUCUCCUAGUGGUAAAAAUAUAAAUACGAUACUCUGGAUAACAUCCCGAGUGAAGUGCUCACCGAUAUCCAUGCGCUUGCGGAUCAAUUCCUUAUUGCGUUCCCAAAUAUCAACAAGCAUUUCUGGCGCCGUUGCCGGGGAGAAAGACGGUUUGCUGAGAUAACCUUGAGUCUUACUAUAAGCUUGUAUCUAUACUUUUAUAUUUUCUUAUCUUUUAUAUUCUUUUAUUUUCUUUACUCUUACCUUAUGGGAAACCAAGAUUCUAAAUCAAUCUACCAAUUUGUAGCACCUUCGGAAACUGACCUUUUACCAUGGGAGUCAUCACAGCCUAUCCAAACAUCCCAGUAUAGGUUAAGUUGUAGGUUGAUUGCCAUGAUUCAAAACCUAUCCUUUUCAGGAAUGGAAGACGAAAACCCUUACCUUCAUAUUAGAGAUUUUGAGCGAACAUGUGAUUGUCUUCGCAUUGAAGGCAUUUCUGAUAAAACUUUACGUUGGAAGCUUUUUCCUUUUUCUUUAAGGGGAGAAGCUAGACAAUGGUACAUGUUGAUGCAAAAGCUAGAUCUGCAAACACAAAGGGCUAAUACCCGAUUUAAACGUUAAGGCGUGCCACCCGAUUUGACCUUACUAUCGGCAAAGGUGAUAACUCGAAUACUUUGGUCCCGACAACAGCGAUGCGCCCGAAUGCCACAGCCAAGAGGUAUUCACGCGGAACUUGAGAACACACCGAGCUUAAGUCGACGAAAUCCUAAGAACUCGUAAUGAAAAGGAAAAAGUAUGACGAAGUCGUCGAAAUAGUAGAUGCUGGAAUAUUAGUAAAACCGGUAUUUGAUUGAUUGAUAGAUUCUUUAUUACAAUGCCCGAGGGUCUACAUUUACACCCUGCUCAAAGAGCUACAACCAGACAUGACUAGAACUUGAAUUCCAAAUUUAAACAGAAUCGGUAUACAAAACGAUUUAAAUAACUAAGAAAAACACAAAACCAUCCUCCCGUGACAAACUGGGACACCACCACGGACUAAUCGGCUACCUACGAGUCUUCCUUCCAUGUCAUCAGCAGACUCCCCAUCGGCAACAGUUAACCCUGGCCAUUGGCAUAAACACAUCGCCAUUCACGGACUCAGCCAUCUCCAGCUGUCUUCUCAUCGGCAACCAUCCUCAUCGCAAGCCUUCUGCAGACCAGUGACCAUUACCCUAUCUUGCCGAUCCACAUUCCACCGAUCCUGGAUACGUGUCAAAAAACGGUGUCAACACAUGCCCCCCAAUUUCGAAGUAUGAAAUCAUUAAUUUUCCGAAAUUCUCUACAGUAAUGAUGCCUUUCUGCAAUUAAUUCUCCCAAUUUGGUAACUGACAGCCUCAACCUGAACAACCCUGAUCCAAUCCUCCCGCAGAUUCCUCGAAAUCCUCAACUUCCUAAACGGACAUCUCCAAUUCAAUCGCUCGUCGGCAAUAUUACCGUUACAGAAAGCUGCCGAUGUACUGACCAAGACAUCCCGCACAGUGACGUGUCUUAUCCUCCGCAACGGAUAUCUCCACUUUAUCCGUUACAAGGCGCUGCCGAUGGACCGACUAGGAAAUCUCGCACAGUAAAAUAUCCCCAGAUCACGACCGCUUCCUGUCAAAUCACCUGCGCAAUCCCUUGAUUACCGUGCGAACAGUUGCCAUAUCUUCCCGAGUAUCCUCGGAUUUCACGGAUACGGCGAAGUGAUAAGUCAGAUUUACCCUUGCCCAUUUCGUUCUAUAAAUAGUUCCUUCUCGGGUACUCCUUCUCCAUCAUCUCACUCUACAACCCCAACUCUGUUCUCUGGCGGCGGCGCUGUUCAAGAACUCCAAGAACUCCAGUGAAGGCUCUUCUUCACCAGUCCCGAAACCUUCAAUCUUCUUUCUUACGAGGAAAAUGGCCAUCAACUUCACCGUCCCUGAGGUUAAUUCAUCACCCCAUCCCGUGUACUUUUAUCAUGUUCUGGUUCAUCCGCACUUUAUUUUACUAAACAUUUUUCUCCCCUUCUUUUUUUGUUCUUCCUUUUUCCUUCAAAACCAUUAGGAUCUGUCCAAUAAAAUUGUCAUCCCUACCGAUCAGCCACACCUCCAAUGCGUUGGUCCAAUAGGGGAUCCAGAUCCCACCAUUCUUAUCAACGCAGAAACAAACAGAAUCCCUUUCAGAGCCGAGAACUUUUCUCUAGAUCUGUGGAAAGACACCUUUCGUUCCUGGCCCAGUCCUACCGUGGGAUGGAAGGAUUGGUUCUUGAGAGUUAGUCACUCAUAUGAAGUCCAAUGGGGUGAGAGAAAGUUUGAUCAAUGCAUCAGGCUGUCCAUUGCCGAUAUGCAUAGGAAUGAGUCAUUGCUGAUAGCUGCAUCUUAUUUCUGGUCGGACACCCUUAAUGCCUUUGUCUUUGGUCACGGCCCUACUUCCCUACACUUGCCGAUGUCGUCAUGCUCACUGGCCUAGAUGUAUCCUCUACCGAUAGCACCCACUUCUUUGAUACCAAACCUAGUGCCAAGGUAGAAACCCGUGCCAUCAGCGAUUGGUCAGGGUAUAUCCAAAAAUAUAAACGAACAGGCCCUGUUAACAUAUAGGAGCAAACCAGCUUCCUAAACAUGUGGCUGGACAAAUUCGUGUUCUGCGGUCGAUCGGCAGGACCAACUUUUGUUUACUUAGCAGCAGCAGAAAGACUAGCCAACGGUGGCCGAUUUCUCCUUGGCCGAUACUUGCUUGGCGCGGCUUACCACCUCCUUCAUCAAGUAGCCAAAAAACUCCUGCUUGGUCAGUCCAUCGGCAACUUGGGGGGUCCCUGGUGGUUUAUUAACAUGUGGCUCAGCCUCCACAUGCACAAGCGUCUCGAGUUUGACCUCUUCGCACAGCGCUUCCCUAGGGAUAUAGCCGAGGACUACGAAUUGGAUGAAGAAGAAUCGGUAACUCGUCCUCCCCUAAACUUUGGCGAAGCUGCCAUAGUUCUGCCCGGUACCGGGGGCAAUGCAGAUCAGGUCAGCCGAUUCUUCCAGACCCUGUACGAAGGUUUGACCAAAGAGCAACGAGCGUGGAUGCCCUAUGAAGAUCCACAUACUAUGUUUCCUUUGGUUUUCCAUCCAUUCAAUGACACUCUCAACAAGGAUCAUGAUGUGAUGAUGGCACUGAUCACUCCCAGAGCCAUACCAGUGAAUUUCUUUGGCAGUGGGAAAACCUCCAACCAAACUUAUGAGUUCUACAAUCCAUCGGCACUAGCCCAUCAACUAGCUUUCGGCCAGCUGCCGAUUGCGCUCUGUUACGCCGAUGUGAUAAAACCUAGGGAAGUCAUCACUAACCUCCUCGAGUGGAUCCGAGUAGCCCAGCUAGCACCGAAUGCCGAUACAGAUGUAGAUCUGUCAGAGUGGGUCCCAGCCCUCUUUAUUACUCAGGCGUACAAGCAAUGGUGGGAAGAAUGGAAGGAGCACUUGUUCUGCAGAUCGGCCCUUACAUACCGUGGCAUGAUCGAUGCUCAGUACAAAGUCCCCGAUGAUACUGUAAGUACCUCUAAACCGAUGUUCUAAUCCUUUUAUCCUCAUUUUCAUCGGUAACUUACUCUUUGCAUUAUAUUGCAGGUUGACGACACUCCCCCAUCGGUCAGCAGGAGUGGCAAGCCGAUUGAUCUGUUCCCCUCAGGCCCGAUUUUUUCAAUCGGCAACAACACCCCCGCUUUGGCUGCUAUCAUGCAUCGAGGUGUACGCCUCAAGAAAGUAACCACCAAAAGGACCAAGACGUCUCCAUCGGUAGCUGCCUCCACUUUGGCACAGGCUUUCGAGGUGAAUUUUAAACCUCUUUCAUACCGAUCUCAUUCUUUACAUCUGUUGCACUCAUGCUUACAAACUUUCCUUUUUGUAUCAGCAUACCGGCGCAUCAGCAAGAACCAGAAGCACAAGUGCCGAUGCCCCCCAGUCUAGUCAGCCGAAGAGAAAGGGCGCCAAGAAUACCAGAGCACAAACAAAGCGCCAAAGGGUAGCAACACCUUCUCUGCCCCCAGUAUCACCAAUCACAGUGGAAUCUUCCCCUUCUUCUCCAGAAGCCCAAAUGCAACAAGCACCAUCUCCCCCUCAUCUGCAAGAAGCACCACAAGUGGAAGAACCCCAACCAGAAGAGCCUCAACCAGAAGUACCUCAGCCAGAAGACAUAUCGGCUGAUGUGCAUGAACAAACUACCGAUCCAGCAGGUUCCAUUAUAGCAUCGGUGGUCUCUUCCAUCCAGACAAGUACUGCUCCUCCUCAAGGUAACAUACUUUUAUGAGAUUACUGCCGAUGAUCUUAUCUUCUCUGUCUUAUAAUUAUUUCUGUUGUUUUUAUAAUUAUUUCUGUUGUUUUUUUAGCCGACAUAGUCCCAUCAGCAACCCCAACCGAUCAGCCUACAGCUCCACCAGCAUCUUCCAGUCAAAGGCGAGAGAUCACCUUGAAACAAGUAAGGUAUCUAAUCUCCAUCAGUACCGCUUGUCAGUACUCAACCAUGAAAUAACUCACUUUAUUUACCUUUACGGAACAAGAUUCUCCUGACAGCUUGUUCUCCUUUGCCAUUGACAUCUCCGAAGACGAGGGUGAAGAAGCAAGUUCUUCUCGGGCAAUUGGAAUCACAUCGGCAGAAAUUAGGGCGAAGUUGGAAGAAUUAUCGGCUCUCCUUCAUCAAGACACAGCCCAACUGGUCGAUGACUCCGAUCCGGCCAAGGCUUUGUUCAAGACCCUCAGAGGCCAGAUUCCUGCCAAUGCUGAGGAAAUUCUCUUUCAGGCUGCACAUUUAGAAAGUCGCCAGCUGCAGUACCAGAGAGCCGCCCAACGUCUUGCCGAUAGAGCUGCUCAUGCCCAGCUGUCCGAAGAGAUGAUGAAAGUGAAGCUCCUUGCCGAUGAGAAGCACAAGAACAUCGGCAUCUUACAAUCUUCAGGAGAUGCAUUGAAGCAGAAAAGUUAUGAUCUAUCGGCGAGAAGAGAAGCCCUGUUGGCAGAACUCAAGCAGGUAGAGGAUGCCUUGUCCCAAGCCCGACAAGAAGAAAGCCAACUGCCAGAGACAAUCAAGCUUCUUGAGCAAGAACGAAACAUCCAUGGCCGCAAGGUGCUGCAGAUGAAAAGGAGCUGAAGCCAGUGGAAGGCUCUGCCGAUGACGACGUGAAGGAGAUAGAGGAAGCCAACCAGAUCCGUCUGCGUGCCAUAUCAGCGAUCCAGGCGCUGUUGAACACAUGAGCUCUUCAUCGGCAAUACAUCCUACUCCAUUUCUUUCUGAUCCCUUAAUAUUUUGGUCCAGCCGAUAGGACUGUUAUCGGUGCCUUUUAAAACACUGAGUCUUACCCCCAGAUACAUUUUGAUCCAGCCGAUAGGAGUGUUAUCGGCACCUAACUUUUAUGCAUCGACCCAUAUGCUAGGUAGUAUUUUUUUAGAUAUUUACCAUUUAACGCUCUGGGAAAUUCAACUCCUUCGAGAGUUUCUAAAAUAUAGGCAUUACCAGAAGCCGACUGACUUAUCCGAUAGGGACCUUCCCAAUUAGGAGACCACUUCCCAAACUUUGAACUUUUAGUCCCGAUCGGUAAGAUCAAUUUCCGUACCAAGUCUCCAUCGGCAAACCCCUUAGCCUUUACCUUUCUAUCAUACCAUCUAGCAACUCUCUUCUUAUUCUUUUCUAUACUCAUUAAGGCCUUUAGCCGAUGUCCCGCUAGAUCAUCUAACUCAUCUGUCAUCAAAGUAGCAUAAUCAUCGGCAGCCAGUUGAUCCUGAAAAGAUAGUCGCCUAGAUCCUGUCUUAAUUACCCAAGGUAAUACUGCAUCAUGCCCAUACACCAACUGAUAAGGUGAAACCUUGGUCGAUCCUUGACAAGCCAUCCAGUAUGACCACAAAGCUUUGUUUAAUAAUGUAUGCCACCUCCUAGGAUUUUCUUCAAUAUUUCGUUUGAUAAGCUUGAUAAUUCCUUUGUUAGAUGCCUCGGCCUGCCCAUUAGCUUGAGCAUAAUAAGGAGAAGAGUUUAAUACUUUAAUUCCCAUACCGAUUGCAAAUUCAUCAAACUCCCCCGAUGUGAACAUAGUACCCUGAUCGGUAGUGAUUGUUUGAGGAAUUCCAAAUCGGUAGAUAAUAUGCUCUUUCACAAAAUCAAUCAUAUUGGCCGAUGUAACUUUCUUUAAAGGAAUAGCUUCAACCCAUUUGGUGAAAUAAUUGGUGGCAACGAAGAUAAACCUAUGUCCUUUGCUAGAUGGUGGAUAGAUCUGACUGAUUAAGUCAAUAGCCCAUCCUCGAAAUGGCCAAGGCUUGAUGAUAGGAUUCAUGGCCGAUGCAGGUGCCCUUUGAAUAUUGCCAAACUUCUGACACCCCUGACAUCCUUUGAUGUACUUAAAGCAAUCUUCAAGUAUAGUCGGCCAAUAAUACCCAUUUCUUCUAAUCAUCCACUUCAUCUUAAAAGCCGACUGAUGUGCUCCACAUACUCCCUCGUGGAUCUCCCCCAUCAAACUCUUAGCCUCAUCAUUACCUAAGCAUCUGAGAAGAAUUCCAUCGAUAGUUCGGUAAUAUAAUUCACCUUCAAGUAGCACAUACUUGGUAGCUUGAAACCGAACACGCCUCUCAACUUUCUUGGAUGGAUCCUUUAAAUAAUCAAUGAUUUCUUUCUUCCAAUCAUCGGCACCGAUUGCCGAUAUUGCAUUAAUCAUGGGCUGAUAUCCCGAGGCAUGCUGAGCCAACCGAUUGGCCUCCUCAUUAUGCAAUCGAGGAACAUGCUCUAACCGGAAGUCCUUGAAUUUCCUUAACAAUUGCAUACUCCUUUCGUAGUAAGUUAUCAAGACUUCACUUCAGCAUUCAUAGCUUCCAGCCAAUUGAUUUAUAACCAGCAUAUAAUCUCUGAAGACUUCAACAGCAUCAGCAUGAACUUCCCUCAGCAAUUCCAAACCCUUUAUCAAAGCUUGAUACACAGCCUGAUUAUUUGUGGACGUGGCAACAAUCGGCAAGGAAAACUCAUACUUCCUUCCCCGAGGGAAAAUUAAUACUAUGCCGAUUCCUGCCCCCCGGUCCCAUGUGGAUCCAUCAAAGAAGAGCGUCCAAGGUACAAUUUCCAAAGCCUCCACUGCACCGCGAUGUUGAGUUACGAAAUCGGCCAUAAUCUGUCCCUUAACCGCUUUGGCCGGUUCGUAACGCAGAUCGAAUUCCGACAGCGCCAAAAUCCACUUACUGAUCCUGCCACUCAUGAUCGGCAUAGACAACAUGUAUCGGACCACAUCAUCCUUGUAGAUAACCGUGCACACGGCCGAUAGCAAAUAAUGCCUUAACUUAAUACAGGAGAAGUACAAGCAUAAGCACAGUUUCUCAAUAGCCGAAUACCUGGUUUCAGCAUCAAUCAACCUCCUGCUUAAAUAGUAAAUCACACGUUCCUUCCCUUCAAACUCUUGAAUUAAAGCCAAACUGAUGACCAUCCCAUCGGUAGACAGAUACAAUCUGAAGGGCUUCCCUUGUUGAGGUGGGAUCAGAAUUGGAGGAUUUACCAAAUAAUUCUUGAUUUCAUCCAAGGCCAGCUGUUAUUCUUUCCCCCAAACAAAUUCUUGAUCGGCUUUCAACUUAAGAAGAGGACUGAAAGCACGAAUCUUACCAGACAAAUUAGAAAUAAAUCUUCUGAUAAAAUUUACCUUGCCGAUCAAGGACUGGAGCUCAGUCUUGUUGGUAGGGGCAACUAUUUUGUUGAUAGCAUCAAUGGAUCUUCGACUAAUUUCAAUCCCCCUUUGAUGCACCAUGAAACCAAGGAAUUGUCCUGCCGAUACACCAAAUGCACACUUAUUGGGAUUCAUCUUCAGACCAUGCUUCCUUGUGCAUUCCAACACUUUUCGCAAAUCGGCAAGAUGCUUGGUGAAGUCUCUAGAUUUGACCACCACGUCAUCAAUAUAAAUCUCCACCAGCUUACUGAUGAACUCAUGAAAUAUAAAGUUCAUGGCCCUCUGAUAAGUAGCACCGGCAUUUUUCAAGCCAAAGGUCAUGACUAUCCAUUCAAACAACCCAACAUGACCAGGACACCUAAAUGCGGUCUUUGGAAUAUCUUCUUCAGCCAUGAAUAUUUGAUUGUACCCUGCAUUGCCAUCCAUGAAGCUAAUGAUCCGAUGCCCAGCCGCAGCAUCAACUAGCAGAUCGGCAACUGGCAUUGGGUAGCCAUCCAUCGGUGUAGCUUUGUUAAGAUUUCUGAAAUCAAUGCAGACCCGAAGCUUCCCAUUUUUCUUGUAGACUGGAACCACAUUGGAAAUCCACUCGGCAUACCGACACUGCCGAAUAAAUUUAGCUUCAAUCAACUUGGUUAUUUUGGCCUUAAUAUCAGGAAGAAUAUUAGGAUUACAUCGGCGAGCUGGCUGCUGAUGUGGCCAAAAUCCAGACUUGAUAGGCAACUGAUGUUCAUCAAUCGAUCGGUCUAAACCAGGCAUCUCAGUAUAAUCCCAAGCAAAGCAAUCUCUAUAUUCCUUUAACAAGUCAGUUAACUGCUGCUUACACUCAGAAUUUAACUUGGCACUAAUAAAAGUAGGCCUAGGUUUAUCACCACUACCUAUAUCUACUUCUACUAGAUCAUCGGCCGAUGUGAACCCCUGGCCUAAUUUUCCAUCAUCGGCGAACCUAUCCAUUAAAAACCAUCUUCAGAACCGACUGCUUGGAUCGGUGGAAUUUCAUAAUCGGCAACCUUGAGGAAAUCCUUUUCCCAAGCUUCUCCUGAAAUACACCUAGUCCUUUCAUAGGUGUCUGCCUCUGCCGAUGCGAUGACAUAAGAAGAAUCUCCUCGGACAAUCUCAAUUUUAUCACCUAUCCACUGAACCAAGCACUGGUGCAUUGUAGACGGGAUGCAACAAUUGGCAUGAAUCCAAUCUCUUCCCAACAGUAAGUUGUAGGCACCCUUUCCACUGAUCACGAAGAAGGUUGUCGGCAAGGUUUUACUGCCGAUGGUCAAUUCUACGCAUAUUGCCCCCUUAACUGGAGACACAUUCCCUUCAAAGUCUUUGAACAUCAUAUCGGUCUUGGUCAAAUCCUGAUCUCCUUUCCCAAGUUUCCGAUACACUGCGUAUGGCAUAAUGUUGAUAGCCGCUCCACCAUCGACUAGAAUCUUGGUCAUUGGCUGACCAUCCACUCUCCCUUUGACAAACAGAGCUUUAAGGUGCUGCCUUUCAUCAUCGGCAGGCUUCUCAAAGAUGGCGGUCAUCGGAUCUAGAGCCAACUGAGCUAUCAGGUUGGAAAACUCCAACUAAUCAUCAUUGGGUGGUGCAAGGAACUUCAUCGGCAACAUAAAUACCAUGUUGACGUCUGCCGAUGGACCUUUCCCCUCAGGAUCUGGUUGUUGCUGAUCCCCAGACUGUCCAACGUUCUCCCCCUUGCUUAACUCUUCUCGCCUUUCACGCUGCAAUCUUCUUUUCUGUGUCCUGGUCAACCCCUCUGGACACCAUGGAGGAAGUUGCUGCUGCCUUACCGCUGGGCGACGAUUUUCCCUUGACUCCAUCCGAUAAGUGUUGGCAUCCCUACAGAAAAUGAACUCAUCGGGAACCCGCGCAUUAGCCAUCUCUUCAAGUUCUUCCUGGUUCCUAGGGAAAUAUCCAACUCGAUCGCCGAGCCUGUCAUGCACACUGAGCCUGCCCCCCAGCCGAUCAUGAACGGACGCUCUCCCCCUAAUCGGCCCAUUAAACCGCCGAUCAUCAUCACGAUAGUGCCGAUCGGCCCUAUCAUACCGAUCAUAACCGUUGCACUCAGGACAAUCUCUGACAGUGGGAAGUUUGAUAUUUUCCUCCCAACAAUGUAUGAAGAAUGGGCAAUUCCAGUUAUCCCUAUGCCGAUUCCACUCCAGUCGGUGUCUUUCCUCUUCCCGACGAUAAUCCUCUUGCUGGCGCCGGUACCGAUCAUCACGUUGCUGCCAAGUCUCCCGAGGCCUUCUGUGAGUUAUCACAAUACCAGACCGGGGAGGCCUCCCUGAGUUAGAUCCCUCUUGAAUCAGGCCUUUUCCUUUCGCAUCGGCAGUAGUGAUCUGAUGUUGAGGAUCCACCGAUGCAUUUCUUUCAGCUGCUUCUGAUGUUAAGACCUUGGCUUUUCCCUUGGCAUCCAGCAUGUUUGUUGGGAAAGGAUGUUGAUCAAUCUUCAUCGGCUUCUGAGCUUUGGAGCUGUCAAAUUUGAUCCUCCCUGAUUCUAUAGCCGAUUGCAGCUGUUGCCUAAAAACUUUGCACUCAUUGGUGCUGUGAGAAGUUGCAUUGUGCCAUUUACAGUACUUAAUCUUCUUCAACUCCUCAGCUGAUGGGAUCACAUGAUUUGGUGACAAUUUGAUCUGACCUUCCUGAAGUAGAAAGUCAAAUAUCCGAUCGGCCUUAGUGAUGUCAAACGUGAACUUCUCUAGCUCUUUAUGCCCAAAAGGGCAAGACAUCGGCUUCUUGUUUUUCACCCAUUCCGCCAAGCCGAUGACUAGUUCUUCAUCAGAAUCCGAGCUCGCUGCUUCAUCGACAAAGGACACCUUCUUGUUCCAUGCUCUCUUGGGCUCGAAAGGCUUUAUAUCUUGAUCAGAAAUUCUCUGCACCAAAUGACUUAAGCUUUCAAAUUCCUGAGAUGCAUACUUGUCCCGGAUAUGCGGCAACAAACCCUAGAAAGCCAAAUCGGCUUGCUGCCGAUCAUCUAAACGCAGACUAUAGCAUUUAUUCUUGACUUCCCGCAGUCUCUGUACGAAGCUCUCAACCGAUUCAUCAUUGCGCUGCUUCAACCAGACCAAAUCGGUGAUCUUCUUCUCGUGAACCCCAGAAAAGAAGUAUUUGUGAAACUGCUUUUCUAGAUCGGCCCAAGUAAUCACUGAGUUAGGAAGUAAUGAUAUAAACUUGGUGAAUGUCGAUCCAGAUAAUGAUGACGAGAACAACCGAACCCUUAAUUCGUCCCGGUUAGCAGCUUCUCCACAUUGGAUGAUGUACCUAUUGACAUGCUCCAUAGUCGACGUAUCAUCCUGUCCAGAGAACUUAGUAAAAUCCGGCACUUUGUACCGAUUUGGAAGCGGGAUUAAAUCAUAUGCAGGAGGAUACGGUGUCCGAUAAAAGUAAGUAUUGACUUUGGGUUUUAUUCCAAACUCGUCUCUCAUUACUUCAGCAAUCUUAUCGGCCCAAUAAGCAUUGGCAUCUUGCCGAUGAGGCGGUUGUGUUACAUCCCCGAUGUUACGGUUACUAAAACUGGAUCAUGUCAUCAUGAGCAUUGCAUUGCAUAUUUGUUAAGCACAUUUUUUAUGCAUCAAAUUAAAACAAGUUUAUUUUGAAUGCUUGUGCUUAUAAAAGUAAAGUGUGCUUAUGUUGUGAAGUGAUGCUUGUGUUGGUUGUUUAAUCCCUAGGGUGAAAGAUUUCCGAGAGACUAGGGGGGGAAACCCGUGAUUUUAGAACCCUAGAAAUGCCCCCUUUUGUGCAAUUUAAAAACUAAGCAAAAUUUGAAGUUGUGUUCAAAAGCAAAGUUGUAGAUCUUGUCAAGAUGUACAACUUUGGUGUUUUGAGUUUUUGAAGUUUCAAUACAAAAUUCGAAGUAAUUUUGAAAAUACAGAUUUCCAGAAAGUGUCCCCUUUUCCAUUUUGAAUCUCCAAUUCAAAAUCUGUUUGGAAUUUUGAAAAGUGACCAACAUGAAAGUUGUAGAGCUCAAAAAGUUGAACAACUUUCAUGUUGGGAGUUUUUCAAGUUGUUGUGGAAAAUCAAAAGUAAUUUUGGAAGUUCUGAUCUGCCCCAAUUCAAAAAUUAGAAUUUCCCUAAAUUGAGAUUUGAAUUCCAAACUGUUUGCUCAAAUUCACUAAUUUCCACUCAGAUUUAGCUUUGGUCACCAAAAGGAGUUUUGUAGCUUGUAGAAUUCUGCACAACUUUCAUUUUGGUGGAAUUUUGUCUUCAGUUCAGAAUUUGGUCGGAUUUUGCAAAACCACAAAACGGGUUGGAUAAAGCUCGCUGCAGUGAUCCGAUAGGGAUCACGGCGCCCCUGUCCAGCGCGGCCGCCGCGCGUGCAGCGCCGCGCGCAUGCGUGCGUGCACGCAGCCUGCUUGCCUGCCAGUGUCGCCAGGCGACGUGGAAGCUGGGCGUCUCCUCCGUUCGUGAUAUAAGCCACUCCACCGACUGACGUGCUCCGUUUAUUUCUCUCGUGCCCGACGCCGGUGAACUUCGUCGCCCACAAAAUUCGUCGUGUCCACUCCCUGUCCGAGCCCCCAAAGCACCUCCAGAGCUUCGCCUUGAGCUCAGCUACUCCCUGGACCCUUUGUCGCGAGCUCUAGCCUCCCCUAGCCCGCAACCGAGCCGUUCUCCUUCAACUCCGGCCGAAGCACCGCCGCAAGUACUUCACCGCGGCCAGAGCUGCUCCAAGCCUUUCCAUCGCCGCUUGUUGCUCCGUUGAAGUCGCGGUGAGCCCCUGAAUCUUAUGUGCUGGUUGGUUCGCGUUCUACCCGCUUGCAGUGUCCGGUGCUCGCGCCGUUAGUGUCGCCGUCCGCCGUGGACAUGAGCAGGAGGGUUAGGAGGGAGUAGGGGUUGUUCCUGUGUCCCAGGGGUUGCGCGAGAGGCCGAAGGUGCUAGCCCACCCUACCGUGGAGGCCGGGAGCUCUCUGGCGAUGAGCUUGAGCUCACCGGAGCCGCGUCGGUAGGUGGAAGGAGAAUCUGACAGGCGGGACCCGCCCAUCAGUGGCCGCAUGAGAGGAGCAGCGCCCGCGCGCGACGCGGGAGGUUCUCGGGCCGUCUUGGGCCAAAGCCAAGCGGGCCGGCCGCAUAGCGCAGUGUGUUUUUCCUUUUUCCUUUUUGUUUAAAAAUGCUUAAUGUUUGAAUUUGAAUAGAAAAUCUUGUACUGAUUCAAAAAUCAUGGGAAUUUUUGUGUAGGUUCUAUGAAAUGAGUAGAACACAGGAAAAAUAUUAGGUUCUAUUUUCUGGUAGUUUGCACAUGUAUAAAAGUUACCUCUUUUAAUUGGCAAAUAAAACUUCUAUGAAUUUUAAUAAUUUAAUUGUAUGUCCAAAAAUCACCAAAAUUUGUGGGAUGCCUCUGAAUAUUAUUCCCUGGCUUCACACAAAAUUUGGUGGAAUUUGGAUAAUGUUUGAAUAAAAUAUUAUUAAACCAUUAAUUAGUAAUUAAAUAAUAAUUCUAGAAUAAUUAGAUAAUAAUUAGUUAAAUUCUCAAAUUAGGAUUUGAGUGAUUUUGGGAUUGUGUGAUGACCUGAGGUCAUUAACCUUAAUGACCUUUGGCGUUUAAUUAUUGUUUGGCAUUAAUGCUUAAUUACCGUCAUUAAUACUUAAUUAAGAAUUAAUUAAGAUAAAAAGGAUUAAUAAUUAGUUAAUUUAGGUUAAUUAUGAAUUAAGAGGAAUCAUAGUUUACAGAUGCAACCUCUUGGGUAAAGACACUAAGAUGAUAAACAACUUUAGUUAUUGAUUAGUAAGUGUUGCACCGGGAAGGCCCGUUGUAGUUAACUCGGUCCUUCUUAAAUGUCCAUCAUACGCAUAUCAUGAGCAUCCAUCAUUUUGCGUAUAGUGCACGUGACCGAAGGAGUGAUCGUUGAACCAAACCCCGAGGUCGGUGCUCCGUUCGAGGAAGUAAGAUCCGAGACUUGGGAAGUCUCCGAGGAACCCUCUCAGCUCUGCAACCAAGGCAAGCCCCGGAUGCAUUAACCCCUCCUUGAAUGUUUUAAAUCUUUUAUCACUUAUGAAUUGAAAAUGCUGCAAUAGGUAGUUGAGAAUUCGGUUAACCUACUUGCUGCAUUUACUACCUUGAUAUUUGUUAUCCUGUCCUUGACACCUGUUUUAUUUUAAAAUCGCGUAGUAAUGCUUAGCCCUGCUACUAGAUAGGUUUUCAACCAAGAAAGUUUGAAGGGUUGUUGUGGAAUACACUUAUGGUCAAUGAUGUUUCAACUUGAGACCGGUCGGUGGACUUACUUUAAGAAUGGAGUCUUAAAGUAGUGUCUCCAACUAUGUCGGUUAAGGACCGGUCCGUUGAUGGCCCGCUGGGUUGAGAAUUUAUAGUACUAGCCACUUACCCUCGGUAAGCCUGGUCUUGUGAUCCCUCGAUGUGAACAGCUACUCGCGCAUUGGGCGUGGAGCGAUGGCGAGAGUAGUGUGUACCCACCUUAUGGAUCUGAGAUGACCGGAAAACAUCUAGAUCGGCUGUAGGAUGGUGGAGUACUGUGCUCUCGGGUGCCAUGAACCUAGUCAAAUUUGGGGAGAGCUUGAUUUGGGUUGACAUAUGCAAGAUUUGGUUCUACAUAUGUCGGGUGGUUAGGAACUCCAGCUGGAUUGCUAAGAAGUUCGAAUCGUCGUUGCUCUCCGAUUGGGACACUCAAUCCACUGACCCUCAUCGUAGCUAAAUAUGCAACUAAGUGAUAAAAUGAGGAAGGGGGAAAUGUCUCAUGAGGUUCGGAUCCCAAUUCCCGGACUCAGAGUGACAUGAAUCUAUGGCCGUUGGAUGGAUAAUACUUUGAUUUAGGACUAGAAACUCACAGACUCAUCUGUGGGAGGCAACUAGAUAGACUGUCCUCGAACUCCUCGGCCUCUUAAGGAGAGGAAUUCGCGGGUAAAACUUGAAAGUAAGGAUGCACUAUUAGUAAGCUUUUUAGCAAAACACUUUGGCUCCUUGCUCAGCCACUCCUUGCCUACCCCAAGCCUGCAUUCCUAAUUUCUCCUCUUUUCCCGCCGGGUAAGUCUUGUUGAGUACUCCCGUACUCAGGGUUUUAUAACCCCUGUUGCAGGUGAAGCUCAGGAGCCGACAUGUUUCGGACCCUGUUGUGUGUCUGUCGUCGAGGUUGACGACGAGGAAGAGUGAGCGUGACCCAUGGGCAGGGUCUGUAAAUUUGUAAUUGGUGUACUAAAGUUUAAGUUGCUCCACUGGGCCUGGCUUGUAAUAACACUACUAUUUGGAAGAAAUCCUUUUGUAAAUUAAGUUAUGUAAUACUUCCGCUGUUUUACUCUAAAAUAUUAUUUUGGUCUUGUGUCGUCUGUGAUACUGCAAUGUCUUCACAACGAGUGAUCCUGGUGUUAAGGUGGCCACUUGCUAUCCUGUAAGGGCGAGAAGAAGAAAUUUUCAUUAAUGGACCACUGCUGGUGGUCAAGACGAGCUUGUUUGAUACGCCACAGGUAGCGGUGGAAUGAGCGUCCUGAGAUGCUCAUCGGACUUCUAGAGUGGGAGGAUCCCCAGCAUCACCGUCAGAGGUCCUUUGGAUAAUGACAGGUGUCGGUGGGCCCAAACACUUAGGAGGUUCUGCCACAGCUGGUAUCAGAGCAUUCGUUGCAAAGAUGACUGCUGUAUCCUUUGAAAAACUUCAAAAUCAUUUGGAUCCAAUACUAUAAACUUGCCUAUUUUGAGUCCAAGUGCUUUAGUCCUAUCUUACCCCUGUCUGUAGGCCUUCUUAGAACUUUUGAAGUGGUAUGGAGGAGCAACAUAGAGUAUUGCCCUAUGUUGUAAAAAAAUUUGAAGUAGUAUUGUUAUGAAUUGCCAAUAGGAAUCGUAAGUACGUGCAUGCAUCAUGAUAUAAUACUUGGUUAAAUUCCUUCCUCCUUGUUCGGGUUGGGUUGUAUAGAAUCAAUCCCAUUCUUGCUAACCUUCAAAGUCUCCCUUACUAAUCCAAACUUACCCUCUAUAGGAUGGCUCGUUGGAAGCAGACCCCACGCAAGAGAACUGGUCCAAAAGGGGUCCCUAGACACCAGUUGGCCCCGCGAGGCGAUCAAGCAAGCAGUAGCUGUUCACCGCCUCAGCAGGAGGUGGAAAGGUUGUCCGCCGAGCUAACCGAAGUGACGAGAGAAAGGAUGUACAACGUCAUGGAGAUUGGCGAACUGAAAGCUCAACUAUUAAAACAAAAACAAGCCACAGAGAACUGCGAGGCCAUGCUGUCCCGUAUGGUGGAGGAGAGGAAUGCCGCUAUUGCCCGAGAAGAGGAGGCCAGGAGCGCACACAGGCACGAGCUGACCAGGAUGAAGGCGAAGCUGGACAAAACCAUGUACCUUAAAGAUCUGUACGUGAAGAUGACGGCCACUGUCACCGCGCAGAGGGAUGUCUCGUGGCAGUGGGAGGACCAACUACAGCUGGAGAAGCUGGAGCUGGCACACCAUUUAGACAUCGUCAACGAUUUGGCAAUGCAAUACAGUGAUGUUGCAUUUGAUCUAUACCAUCAGCUCCAUCCACCUCCAGGUGAAGGAGAGAUGGAUACGGACGGAGAGGUAGCGGAUGCUGGGGAACCUGACCAAGACCUCAGUGAUGAGUAGGAAUUUGACUCCGGUGAUGACAACCCGGGGGGUAAUCAUGACGAUGGCGAUGACGACCCGGGCUACAGCUCUGGCCACACCGACUAGUUCGGUGAAGCCGCGGGCAACAUCGUUGUAGGAUUCCUAGUUUACCGUAGUGGGGUCGGGUCUGUAGUAUAAAGUUUUCUUUCAGUUUAAGAAGUUAUACUCGUUUGUUUCCAGGGUGUUGAACUGAUGUUUGAUAAAUAAGUGGAAGUAUGUAAGAUAUGUUCUAAGUUAUGAAUUUCAUGUGGUAACAAGUACAUAUGACUCUUGUAGCAGAUGCCGAUGCGUACUCGUGGAUCUGAUGGAGCUGGGUCCUCUCAGGGAGGGGAUGAUAUCCCCAACCCUCCACCUGCUCCACCUUCCCUGGCUGAUGCCAUUGCUGUUCUUUUGAGUGCCACUACUGACAACACUCGCUUGUUGCGCGAGUUAGCACAACACCAACCACACCCCGCACCAAACUUCAGAGCACAGCAAAAUGGGGAGGGAGAAACUCGGUACGUGGACUUUACCGAGACAAGGCCCCCGGUAUUCAUCAAGGCUGAUGAGCCCUUAGAUGCUGAUGACUGGCUGCGAACAAUGGAGCACAAGUUCAGUCUGAUCCGAUGUUCGGAAACUCAGAAGCCCUUGUUCGCAGCUCAACAGCUUCGGGGAGCUGCGGGUGCCUGGUGGGAGAAUUUUCUAGCUAUCCAAGGUCGAGGACACCAGGUCACCUGGACAGAAUUUAAGGACGCGUUCCGCGCCCACUAUAUCCCCGAAGGGCAUAUGGCCAUGAAGGCUGAAGAAUUUCUCGCCUUGCAGCAAGGCGAUAAAAGUGUCAUGGAGUACGUGGCAAAAUUUAAUCAUCUUUCUCAAUAUGCCACAGACCAUGUGAACACGGAUAGAAAGAAGAAGGCUUGUUUCAUGCGUGGUCUCAAUACCAAACUUCAGACAAUGAUGACCACAUGCCCAAAUGCUACUUUCUACAAGGUGGUAAAUAUUGCCAUCGCCUCAGAAGAAAACAAUAGAAAGCACAAAGAAGCCAAGAAGAAGGCUGCCUCUUCCUCCUUCUCUGGUCGCGGUCAAAAGUGCCAGAAAAUCAUUUAUCAUCCGCAGGGCCACGGACGCUUUCAAGCGCCGUCACCUUAUCGUGGUCCCUUUUCCCCUCCAUAAUAUAGACCAGGGCAGCACGUAUAUCCUCGACCUACUGCCAUCGCCACUGCACCACGCCAGCCGAACGCCCCAGGUGUUCGCCCCACUGCUCCGCCCAACCACAAUUAUCCUUGUUUCAAUUGUGGUAAGCCUGGGCAUUUUUCUAAAGAGUGCCCCUACCCCCACCAAACCAACCCUACUUUCCAAAGGCCACCCAUGGGCCAACCCCAGCCGAGCCAAUUCAGGACUGGGGCUCAGAAAGGACAAAAUGUGCAAAGGGGUAAACCAGCAAAGAAAGUGGGACAAGUCAUCCAUACAGAGGUGGAGACGAUCCCGGAGGGAGAACCAGUAAUGAUGGGUACGUUUCCUGUUGCAAAACAUCCUGCUUUAAUGCUUUUCAAUUCUGGUGCAUCUCAUACAUUCAUCAACUGCACCUUCGUGAUAAAGCAUGGCAUACCCAUUGGGGAAACAAAAGAUCAUUUUUAUAUACAGUCGCCAGGAGGACGGCUGAGUUCUAAAGAAAUGGUUCACUAGAUACCCAUCGAAUUUGGUGGGCAUAGUUUUCCCACUAGCAUGAUUGUUCUUAAAGAUCAGGAGAUUGAUGUCAUACUAGGCAUGAACUGGAUGGCGCAACGAGGGGUUGUGCUAAAAACUUUGCAUCGAACCAUUAAAAUACCAUUGCCCAAUGAGAAUUCUUAUCUUCUAAUUCAAUUAGUUACUCCCAAACGGGCAAUUGGGCAAGUUCAUGCCACCAAUGUGUCGGUAGUCAAAAAUAUCCCGGUAGUUCAGGAUUUUCCAGAUGUAUUUCCUGAAGACCUACUAGGUCUGCCACCGGACCGGGAUGUCCAGUUCAGUAUAGAAUUGAAACCAGGGACGGCCCCAAUAUCUCGAAGGGCCUACCGAAUGGCACCAAAAGAACUGGCCGAAUUAAAAUCCCAACUACAAGAGCUGUUGCAGAAAGGUUUUAUUCAGCCCAGUUCCUCUCCAUGGGGUUGCCCAGCCUUAUUUGUGAAAAAGAAAGAUCAAACAUUAAGGCUGUGUGUCGAUUAUCGUCCCCUGAAUGAGGUGACGAUUAAGAACAAGUACCCAUUGCCCCUUAUUGACUUACUAUUUGACCAGUUGGCCAGGGCUAAAGUAUUCUCAAAGAUUGAUUUGAGAUCAAGGUACCAUCAAAUCAAAAUCAGGUCGGAGGAUGUACCCAAAACGGCUUUUACAACCCGUUAUGGGCUGUAUGAAUACUUGGUGAUGUCUUUUGGGUUGACCAAUGCACCGGCCCAUUUCAUGUACUUAAUGAACUCUGUCUUCAUGCUAGAACUGGACAAAUUCGUGGUCGUCUUCAUUGAUGACAUUUUGAUCUACUCCAAAACUAAGAAAGAACAUGCUGAACAUCUGAGAAUUGUGCUGACCCGUCUUAGGGAGCAUCAACUAUAUGCCAAGUUUAGCAAAUGUGAGUUCUGGCUGGACAAAGUCCAUUUCCUGGGGCAUGUAUUAUCAGCGGAGGGAGUCGCUAUAGACCCAGGUAAAGUAGAAGAUGUGUUGAAUUGGAAGCCCCCGACUACGGUACAUGAGGUCCGUAGUUUUCUGGGUAUGGCGGGAUAUUACCGUCGCUUUAUCCCGGACUUUUCAAGAGUCGCCAAACCAAUCAUGACCUUGCUCAAGAAUCAAACAAAAUUUGUUUGGUCAUUUGAAUGUGAGCAAGCCUUCCAGACUCUGAAAAGAUUAUUGACAAUUGCACCUGUAACACCCUAGGUGUUAAGCAUGCACUUAGUCUCACCAAAGCCCUGCAUAAGCAUUCCAUCAAGCAUAAGCAUCAUGAGCAUGACACUCUUGUCAAAUUAUGAUUUUAUGUGCUUCAUUUCAUGUGUUUUAAAUAUGUUAAAAAUAUGAUACUUGCUCCUAAAAUUGUGAAAAAUUCAAAUUAGGUUGAUUUAUGUGUGAGAAGCAUUUAGAAUAUUUUUGUGCAAUUUUUGGAGCUAUGGAAUUUGAGAAAUGGAAUUUAUACAAAAAUAUCCAAAAAGAAUUUAAUUAAAACCUAGAACUGAGUUUUAACUUGUAAUUCAAAUUCUGUUUGGAAUUUGGUCUUGCUUGUUAAAACAAAGUGGUAGAGUUUUUGUUUUGGAACAACUUUGCUUUUGGGAGCAAGAGGUGAAAAUGAUUUUAAAUUGGUCCAAAUGAAUUUAGAAAGAAUUUGGAGAAAAGAAAUUUCAAAAAAAAAAAGGAAAGGGGGCAGGCGCUGCUGGGCCGACCCGCCUCCCUUCUGGCCCAGCUGGGCAGCGCGGCCUGCUCCCCCUCCCCUCUCUCCCGCGCGCGCGGCGCCCGCCUUGUUCCACCCGGCGCCGGCCACGUGGCGGCCGUACGCCGGCGUUGGACGCGCCGCGGCCGGCCUCCAACCCCCCCCUGGUCGAGACGCCGGCGCUGGCUCCCAGACCACUCGCCCGUUCUGUCCCCCCCGCGCCCUCCUUCUCCUUCCUCCUCCGCUCGAACCGCGCCGCAGCAGCCGCUCCUCCGCACGCCAUUGCCGGAGAGAGCUCCGCCGCUCGUCGCCGGCCACACCAGAGCCUCAAGCUCGACGCCGAGGGCACCAGGGCACUCGCCGUCGCUAGGGUAAGCUCGUGCGAACGUUCUACCGAGGUGAGAGUCCGUCGAGCGCCGUGAAUCGCUCGCCGGAGUUACCCCGAGCUCGCCGGAGUACUCCGCCGCGGUGGAUCUAGCGUUUCCCUGCGUCUUUUCGCUCGUUCUCUGUUGCGCUAGGUCGGUAGGAAGGUGAGGAAGCUCGGAGAGGCGUUUGUGCACGCUCUACCGCGCCGGAGCAGCCUGGCCACGGCGAGCAGCGCCGCCGUGCCGCCAUGCAUGCUCGCCGGAGGUGUUCCGGCCGUCCUCUGGUCGAUCCAAGGGUACCGCUGGGUGCGCCUCGCUGCGGGGAGCACGUUGGUGCUCACCCCGUGGCCGGAGACCUCACCGCCGGCGAGAUCCGCUCGUCGGAGGUGAGCUCCCUCUCGGUCUCGCUGACUGGUGGGGUCGGGGACCCACUGUCAGUCGCAGGGGUACCCCGGUGGGUGUAGAUCUGGGUGAGGUAGCGUUUUUCGUCGGUUUUCUUGAAAAAGUAUUUUCCAGAAAUUGAUUUAAAGUUUGUAAAAUCUAUAUCUUGAGUUCUACAGCUCCAAAUUGAAUGAGAUAAAUUUUGGUGUGCUCUAUAUUUCCAGAUCUACAGUUGGAUGUAAUUGCAUGUCAUGUUGGAGCAACUUUUCUGUGUGAAUAUAUUUUAUCCAUGAUUUUGUUAAACUUGGAAAAUGCAUAGUAAAUGGAAUAUGGCUCAGAAAAAUGUGAAACUUGUUUUGCUGGCUCUGCAUGUGUGUUUACUCACUAAGAAAAUAUUGUUACAUAUUAUUUGGUGUAUAAAUGAAUUUAUGGUAAUUUAAAUGCUUGCAUGGCAGUACUUUAUGAUUUUUAAUAAUUAAUUGAGUCAUGCAAUAAAUCUGGAAAAUUUUGUGGAUGUUUCUUAUGAUAUUAGACAAAUUGUAAAAAUAUGAAAUCUGUUGUUUGACACUCAUAUCACAGUAGGGUGAUUAUACUUGCCUUAUCCAUUAAUCUUGUGAUUUUUGUGGCUCAAAAUAAGUAACCAAAAAUUAUGAAAAAUUUACAGUAGACUUUAUGAUUAGCUAGUAGUCUCCUGUAAUUUUUCUAGAAUUUAUUGAUGAACAGAAUUGCAUGUGAUUUUUAAUGGGCUUAGAAAUGAAUAAAGAAAAUUUUGAAUGGUUGUGUAUGUGGGUUGAAUGGACUAGGUUGGGUUUGGUGUAUCUUUGAAGCAUCAUGUAGGUUGCUGAUGUCAUUUGAAAAAUAAUUAUAGAAGAGAAUGUAAUAGAUGUUUGAUUCAAUUGUUUAUUCUUGGAUGAUGUUGACUACCUUGUAAUAAGCAUGACCAAGUACAUUACCUAUGCAUCAUAACAUGACUCCUUUGGUACUCUCUCAUAUAAGCAUCCACUCGGGCAUUCCGCACUCCACUCAUGAGCAUAUAUGCAUCAUACAGGCUCGCAGGAGAACGAGGUGGGAACCAAGGAACCCGAGGAGCUUCAGGAGCAGGAACCUCCGGAAGCACAAGAGCCCGGAGAGGAACUGCAGGAGUGUCCGGAUCACAGACCCAGCACGUUUGAGAAAGACAAGCCCCGGAGCAUUCUAAGUCUCCCUAUUCUCGCUAACUUAUAUAAAGUGCUAUACUUAUUCUACUAUAUUGCAUAUUAAGUGAUAGGAGUUGCCUGAUACCGUUGCUGCAUAUGUACUCCUUGUUAUCCCUACUCGUUAUCUACCUUGUCCUAUGUAGAUAGGCGCGGAGUCUAUGCUUAGCUUGCUUAGUCUGGUAGAAGUCAGGUGAUGUCCUGUCAUCUGCGAGAUAUAGGUGGAUACCUGCUUGAUUAAGCAUUGGUUGCUCGGGGAAAGGAAUAACCCAGGGUGGAAUGAAUUUGGAGACCGGGCAGGGUCUUAUGGUGGGUUGACCAUAGUGCCCCUGUCUGUGUCGAUUAAGGACCGAUCGUUGACGGCCCUCUUGUCAUGUUGAACGCAUGCUCCACAUUUAGCUGGAAGGAUAAGUCGUUCCGACCGUGAAGCCUGAGCACUAUCCGGGCCGGGAAUCGGCCCGAUGUACGCGCUGUAUUGGUGAUGGUCGAAGAGAACGACGAGGGCGCGGCGCGCAACCUUGGUAUACCUUGGAUACCUCGGUCGCCGGAACGGUCCUCGGGUACGGGCGGUGCCUGUCGAACCCACGAAUUGGUCCUGGAUAGUGCAACACGGUGACCUGUAGCUCACUUGAUCAGUGAGUGUGGUUUGUGUGGGGAAUAAAGUCGCCAGCUGGUUAGAAAUCGAUUCGAAUCGCCAUCGCUCCUGGAUAGUGAGCACUUGACAUAAGCUUCGUCCUCGUAGUAAGGACUAUGGAACACUUGGGUUAUAAUGAAACGGGUUUAUGACUGCUGUGAUGAGGUACUAUCAUAAUCUCAUACUUGCUUGUAAUAGCACAGGAGCAAACCUAGAUAAUAGGUAAUGAUACUUUCAACUUGAGCAGAUUAAAAGAAGAAAAGAAUUAUGUAGGUUCGGAUAAUAAAACCUUGCGGUCUUUGCAAAAUGGUUGUCAGCUACCCCACUAAAUAGCCUUCAUGAUCCUUGAUGAGUCUUUAUUUUAAGUUUAUGACGGGUAAGUCUAGCUGAGUACCUUCUCGUACUCAGGGUUCUAUUCCCAUGUUGUUUUGCAGAUGGUCAAAUGUACUAUGGUUAUUGCAUCCUCUGUCUGUACCCAGCUAUGGGUGAUGACUAGACCAAGGGUGAUGGUCACUCCGUCUCUUCUUUUGCUUUUGUGGGAAUGACCGAACUAUGGCACUGUAUCAGACUUAUCGUGUGUGUUGUAUUUUCGAACUAUGAAGCUUCCGCUACUUGAAGAACUUGGUUUGUAAUAACUUUAAGCACUCCGAUGUAUUUAUGAAUGUUGUAAUCUGGAUGUGAUUGUGGAUGGCGACCGCUAAACUUAUUACGAUCUUGGCUGUAUAUGUGAUGUGUGGUUUGAAAUCCUUCGAGAUUUCACGGACUACCGGGAUUAUAUGGGCUUAAGCGUGAUAGUUCGACUAUGCAAAUGGUCACUAUUAGGCUUAAUCUCUUAUAAUUUGGUCGGUUCUGUUACAGCUGGCAUCGGAGCAAGGUUUAGCGAGUUACUGUUCAUAAGUACGUUCUAAACAAAAGUCUAAACCGGUUUAAUGAAAGAUUUUAGUAAUUAAUAAAGAUCAAGGUGUUAAACUAAGUUUUGGAAAACUAUCUAGUGUGCCAUGGUCAUAUCCUUUAUGCCCAGUUAAGGACUCUAAGGUGGCUAGCUAAGUACUGACUUGGGGGUUAGUGCAUCAUAUUUUUAUUUCGUCGCUCAUACGGCGUGCAAUAGUAUGAGUGCCAUUCAUUUGAGUGGUAAUGUAUGGAUCAAUUCUUCCUCUACGCCAUGGUAAGUGGGAGUUGUGAGAGCAUGAUCGGAUACACUGCCGGUCUAGGGAAGUGUUGUCAGGUGCUGUGUCAUGCACACAUGUUGGUGUGUCUUGGGAACAGUACCGCAUGCUGGGAAUUCCGUCCUGAGAGGCGAUGCCGUCAAUAGGGCGAUGAUGUGGGUAGUGGCACGUCACAUGCAUGGACGGGUGUCUGUGUAUGUGAAGUGCAUGGUUUUAAAUUCUUGCUCUGCAUGAUCAUAUUGUGGGUGGGCUGAAAUGAGUUUUCUGCAGGUACACUAACCACGUUCUCGCUUAGAACGCUAGUUACGUAUGAGAGAACGUUGGGUGCCACCGCAUAUACCGCUUAGUGUUAACCUUUGUUUCAAAGUUUGUGAGAUAGUAAGUUCGUGCAUGCAUCAUGUUCAUUUCAUAUCAUUGCUUACUUCCCCCUUAAUUUAAUCUGUCCCAAUUCUAAAUAAAAUAAUUAAAGGUAAUCCUCGCUCUUACCCACGGUGUUCCAUUUGCAGCAGAUGGCACGCACUAGGCUCACCGCUCGCAAGUCCACUGGUGGGCGGGCCCCUCGCCAUCCGUUGGCAGCUAGGAGCUCGCGACAUAAGAGCAAGUUCCUAGAGGAGUUUGGGAUGCCCACUUUGCUUUGGAGGGUGCUCAGUUCGAUGGGGUAUCCCGAAGGAAGGGAGCCUCACUACUAUUGGGAUAAGGAGCCGCUUGGUGACGAGACCCUGGUGGGGAUUGAGGCAGUUGUCCCUACCAGUGGAGGAGACCCUGCUUGGGGCGGCUGGGUGUACGAGUCCCGAGGUGUCACGCCUUUCCACGGUGCCAGCAGGGCAGCUUUCGCAGUUUUGAGGGACCUCAUGGAGAGGUUUCCACAGGAGCUGGCCCACGCCUUCGCUGGGGUGUUUCCCCGGGGUGACCCUUACACUUCGGUGUGGGAUCAAUCCGAGGUGAAUGCUCUAGAGAGGAGUGCGGAUGAGGACCAGCACAGUGACAGUGCAGCUAUGAGUGCCAUGUACGCGUUGAUGAAGACCUAUGGAGGCCUGGAGCGUUGUUUGGGUCGCUUGUCCGGGUCUCUUCUCACCGUCCAGGAUGAGAAGCGUCAGUUGCAGCGUGAGUUUGACUCUGAGGUUGAGAGGCUACAGGCAGAGUUGGCUCGUGUGACCAGAGAGAGAGACCAGGCAGUCCAGAAGAACAGUGAGCUGAGUCAGGACCUGCUUGCAGUACGGGAGCAGAAGGACAGGGUGACUACUGCUCACAGGAACUGCGAGCGCAUGCUAGUCCAUGUGCUUGGACAGAGGAAUGAAGCCUGGCACGAGGAGGACACUUUGAGGGCCCGACAGCUAGAGCUAGAGCAGCAGCUAGCUAAUGCCGAGGAGUACAAUGAGAACUUGCAUGAGGAGAUCCACCAGCUGCAUAACCAGCUCCACCCUCACCACCUACCUGGAGCCGCGGAGCUAGACUCUGAGGACGAGAUGGAUGCGGAUCCCGAGCUAGGAGCAGCUGCUAGUGGUGACGAGGAUGAGGAUGGCUCUGGCAUGGACAGUGACCACAGCGAGUAGAUGCUAGGGCUCUAGAGCUAGUCUUCCCUCUUUUGUGAUGUAUGUUGCGUGGCAUGUCAUGUACUUUUGGAUCUGGGCUGUGUAAGACUUUAUGAGUUGAUACGGAAAGUCCAGUGUAUGUAUGCUGGCAAGUUGGAUGUACGCGAACCUUGUUGCGUGGAUGAUAAGUAAUCUGUUAGUGAUGUUGUGCGUGGAUAAUGAGUUGUUGUGCCUUUGUUUAUUGUGUGAAUUUAUUCCUUCAGUAAAUUCAGUAUGGCACGAUUUUACACAUUUUCUACCGGUUGAUGGCAACUCCUAACGAUUGCUUAUCAUUGGCGUAUGCAGAUGGUACAAACACGUGGCGGGGGUAGCAGCAAUCCGGGCCUUGGAACAGGUACAUCCGGAGGUGGGUCUCAACGGAUUGAGGACAGAGCACCAACACCGCCACCACCACCGCCUCCCCCGUACACUGCGGAUGUGUUUUUCGCGCAGUUUCUGGGAAGCCAACGCAACAUGGAACAGAUGCAGCGCAACAUGGAAGAAGCUUUGCGCAACAUAGCUGACAACACCCGUCGUGGAGAUAAUCAGGGUGGUCGGGAGGUUAACCAGUACAGUUCGUUCAAGGACUUCAUGGAUACCAAGCCACCAAUCUUUAAGGAGGCCUUGGAACCGCUCGAGGCAGAUGAGUGGAUCAACACCAUGGAGCAGAAGUUUCGUCUUCUCCGAAUGACAGAAGAACUCAAGGCUGAGUAUGCGGCACAUCAGUUGCAAGGACAUGCAGGGAUUUGGUGGUCCCAUCACCGAACCACCUACCCAGAGGGGACACCAAUCACCUGGAACCGCUUCACCACCGCUUUCCGAGGAAAUUACAUUCCUCCUGGUGUGGUUGAAAUGAAGGUUGGGGAGUUCAUGAGGCUGUCCCAGGGGACGAAAUCUGUGAAAGAGUAUCUACAUGCCUUCAAUAAUCUCGCUCGAUAUGCCCCUGAGUUUGUAAACACGGAGGCCAAGAAGAUUGCCAGUUUCCAGAGAGGCUUGAACCCAAAGAUGCUGAAGACCAUGGGUACAGGGGCCAGGGCAACUUUCAAUGCCUAUAUCAGUGACUGCCUGACCCAAGAGAACAAUAACAACGACUACAGUGCAUCCAAGUCACGUAAAAGGGCUUUUGAAGCAGGAUCAUCCCAGUCCAGGGCGACAGCAGUAUCGUCCCCCUGCCCCCGGUGCUAGGUUCCGACCGCCGCAGAGAAGGAACACCGGACAUCCAACACUGCAGAAGCCGUACAAGGUGGCGAUAGCUCCUGCCAAGCCAAAGGCCAUUCAAGCUGCAGCACCUGCCGUCAACAAUGCGCCCAAGGGUCCAUGCUAUAACUGCCACAAGAUGGGGCACUUCGCUAAGGAAUGUCCCUACCCCAAGAGGCAGCCGCCAACAUAUCCAGCUCGUGUGCAUCAUACCUCGAUUGAGGAAAUCCCGGAAGGAGAACCGGUAACAGCUGGUAUGUUUUCUGUCAACCAACAUCUUGCAGUUGUUUUGUUUGAUUCUGGAUCGUCGCAUUCUUUCAUGAGUCAAGCAUUUGCACAAAAGCAUGAUCAGCCAGUUACUGAGUUAGGUUAUGGCUAUCGCAUCAGCUCAGCCGGGGCAGAUGUGUUGACUAAUAAAACGGUAACAGGAGUUACCUUGGAUAUCAGUGGUCGGAGGUUCCGUGUAAACCUUGUGGUCAUGCCAGGACUGGUUUUGGAUGUCAUCAUUGGGAUGAACAAAAUGACUGAUUGGGGCGCGGUUAUAGAUACCGGGAAUAGAACUCUUUCCCUUAGAGACCCGCAAGGAAAGGGGGUGCUUCAGGUCAAGCUACCUAGACGGUUGGACUUCGCCAGUCUUUCAUGUGCAGUACAGGUAGUCUCUCUAGAACACAUACCCGUGGUAUGUGAGUUCCCGGAUGUGUUUCCUGAGGAUUUACCAGGACUUCCCCCAGAUAGGGAGGUAGAGUUUGCGAUCGAGUUGAUACCAGGUACAGCACCAAUAUCCAGAAGGCCGUACCGGAUGCCACCAAACGAACUCGCAGAAUUGAAGAAACAACUAAAGGAGUUACUAGAAAAAGGGUUCAUCCGGCCCAGCUCGUCGGAAUGGGGUUGUCCAGCGUUGUUUGUGAAAAAGAAGGAUCAGUCGUUGCGCAUGUGCGUUGACUAUCGUCCACUCAAUGCAGUGACAAUCAAAAAUAAGUAUCCCCUGCCAAGGAUUGAUAUCCUGUUUGAUCAGUUAUCCAAAGCAAGAGUGUUUUCUAAGAUAGAUUUGAGAUCCGGGUAUCACCAAAUCAAGAUUCGUCCGCAAGAUAUCCCGAAGACUGCUUUCUCCACCAGAUAUGGGUUGUACGAGUAUCUUGUCAUGUCCUUUGGGUUGACAAAUGCUCCUGCAUACUUUAUGUAUCUGAUGAAUUCAGUCUUUAUGCCAGAAUUGGAUAAGUUUGUUGUGGUGUUUAUCGAUGAUAUCCUGGUGUAUUCAGAGAAUGAGCAAGAUCACGCCGAACAUCUGAGAAUCGUGUUGACACGAUUACGAGAGCAUCAGUUAUAUGCCAAGUUCAGCAAGUGUGAAUUCUGGUUAAAGAAAGUUCCGUUCCUAGGGCACAUUUUAUCUGAAGAAGGGAUUGCCGUGGAUCCAUCAAAAGUGCAGGAAGUCAUGGACUGGAAGGCACCAACUUCGGUCUCGGAAGUUAGAAGUUUUCUUGGUCUGGCCGGGUAUUAUCGUCGUUUCAUACCUGACUUCUCCAAGAUUGCUAAGCCAAUGACAAGUUUGCUACAAAAGGAUCAUAAGUUCGUCUGGACGGAGGGGUGUGAGUUAGCCUUCCGCACCUUGCGAAAGUUGCUAACCACUGCUCCCGUUCUGGCACAACCUAAUAUAGAGAAGCCUUUUGAUGUGUUUUGUGACGCAUCGAAGAGUGGCCUGGGGUGUGUGUUGAUGCAAGAUGGCAGGGUGAUAGCUUAUGCUUCCCGACAGUUGAGGAAGCAUGAAGUCAACUAUCCAACGCACGACCUUGAGUUAGCAGCAGUGGUACAUGCUUUGAAGAUCUGGAGACAUUAUCUGCUAGGAAAUAAGUGUCACAUUUACACCGAUCACAAGAGUUUGAAGUACAUCUUCACUCAUUCCGAGCUGAAUAUGAGGCAACGACGGUGGUUAGAGCUAAUCAAGGAUUAUGACCUGGAAGUUCACUAUCAUCCAGGCAAAGCUAAUGUGGUCGCAGAUGCUUUGAGUCGCAAACCGCACUAUCAAAUGGUUCAACCGUUGUUUGAAGAUGGGUUCAAUCUUAUGCAUCCUGAGGUCUUAUGUCAUAUACAACUCGGUUGUUCACUCGAGAGUCAAGUCAUUGAAGGUCAGAAAACAGACAAGGGUAUUUUCCACAUCAAAGAGAAGAUCAAAGAUGACCCAAAGACUCAGUUUCGGGUUGAUGAGAAGGGGGUACUGUGGUUUCAACAGCGGUUAGUGGUCCCGAAAGAUCGGGAGUUGAAGAAUCGCAUCAUGGAUGAAGCCCAUCUCUCUAAGCUUUCUAUUCAUCCUGGCAGCAGCAAAAUGUAUCAAGAUCUAAGGCCCCACUUUUGGUGGACCAAGAUGAAGAAAGAAAUAGCAGCUUAUGUGGCCCGUUGUGACACGUGUUGCAGAGUUAAGGCCGUCCACAUGAAACCUGCAGGUCUGUUACAACCGUUAUCAGUCCCGGAGUGGAAAUGGGAAGAGGUCAGUAUGGACUUUAUCACCGGCUUACCGACAACCAGGAAGGGGAAUGACUCGAUUUGGGUAAUCAUAGAUCGAUUAACCAAGUCGGCUCAUUUCAUUCCAGUCAAGAACACAUACAGACCUCCCGAGUAUGCCGAUAUAUAUAUGGCUGAGAUUGUCAAGUUGCAUGGUAUUCCCAAGACAAUCAUAUCAGAUAGAGGACCGCAGUUCACUGCUCACUUCUGGGAGCGCAUGCAUAAGAGCUUGGGGACCAGUCUGAUAAGAAGCACGGCGUAUCAUCCCCAGACUUCAGGACAAACCGAGAGACUAAAUCAAGUGUUAGAAGAUAUGCUGAGAGCCUGUGUGCUAUCAUCCAAGGGAUCAUGGGAAUCGUGGUUACCUUUGGCUGAAUUCUCCUACAAUAAUAGUUAUCAAGAGAGCAUCAAGAUGGCCCCGUUUGAAGCUUUGUAUGGUCGAAGAUGUCGAACUCCGUUAAACUGGGUUGAACCUGGUGAAAGAAGAUACUAUGGUAUCGACUUUGUGAAUGAUGCCGAGAAAAAGGUGCAGAUUAUACAGCAACAUAUGCAAGCAGCGCAAUCGCGACAGAAGAGUUAUGCUGAUAAGAGAAGAAGGCCACUUGAAUUCAACAUAGGUGACUAUGUGUACCUCAAGGUUACGCCGAUGAAGAAAGUUCAACGUUUCCGAGUUCGAAGCAAGCUUGCACCCAGAUAUGUGGGACCGUACCAAGUACUAGAGAGGAAAGGCCCAGUGGCCUAUAAGAUCCAGUUACCUGAAGAGAUGAGCUCGAUCUUUCCGGUCUUCCAUGUGUCGCAACUACGGAAAUGUUUGAAAGUGCCUGAGCAAAGAGUUGAACCCCGAGGGAUCAAAAUAAAAGCAGACUUAGAGUAUAAAGAGCAGCCAGUGGGAAUCGUGGAUACCAAGGAGCGAGUAACCCGAAACAGAAUUGUCAGAACAUAUAAGGUGGUGUGGAGUGAUCAUGACGAUAGGGAUGCCACCUGGGAAACAGAGGAUUACUUAAAAACAGUUUAUCCAAAAUUUCACAAGAAAUGGUUAGUAACCCAAAAUCUCGGGACGAGAUUUCCCUAAGGGGGGAAGGGCUGUAACACCCUAGGUGUUAAGCAUGCACUUAGUCUCACCAAAGCCCUGCAUAAGCAUUCCAUCAAGCAUAAGCAUCAUGAGCAUGACACUCUUGUCAAAUUAUGAUUUUAUGUGCUUCAUUUCAUGUGUUUUAAAUAUGUUAAAAAUAUGAUACUUGCUCCUAAAAUUGUGAAAAAUUCAAAUUAGGUUGAUUUAUGUGUGAGAAGCAUUUAGAAUAUUUUUGUGCAAUUUUUGGAGCUAUGGAAUUUGAGAAAUGGAAUUUAUACAAAAAUAUCCAAAAAGAAUUUAAUUAAAACCUAGAACUGAGUUUUAACUUGUAAUUCAAAUUCUGUUUGGAAUUUGGUCUUGCUUGUUAAAACAAAGUGGUAGAGUUUUUGUUUUGGAACAACUUUGCUUUUGGGAGCAAGAGGUGAAAAUGAUUUUAAAUUGGUCCAAAUGAAUUUAGAAAGAAUUUGGAGAAAAGAAAUUUCAAAAAAAAAUAGGAAAGGGGGCAGGCGCUGCUGGGCCGACCCGCCUCCCUUCUGGCCCAGCUGGGCAGCGCGGCCUGCUCCCCCUCCCCUCUCUCCCGCGCGCGCGGCGCCCGCCUUGUUCCACCCGGCGCCGGCCACGUGGCGGCCGUACGCCGGCGUUGGACGCGCCGCGGCCGGCCUCCAACCCCCCCUGGUCGGGACGCCGGCGCUGGCUCCCAGACCACUCGCCCGUUCUGUCCCCCCCGCGCCCUCCUUCUCCUUCCUCCUCCGCUCGAACCGCGCCGCAGCAGCCGCUCCUCCGCACGCCAUUGCCGGAGAGAGCUCCGCCGCUCGUCGCCGGCCACACCAGAGCCUCAAGCUCGACGCCGAGGGCACCAGGGCACUCGCCGUCGCUAGGGUAAGCUCGUGCGAACGUUCUACCGAGGUGAGAGUCCGUCGAGCGCCGUGAAUCGCUCGCCGGAGUUACCCCGAGCUCGCCGGAGUACUCCGCCGCGGUGGAUCUAGCGUUUCCCUGCGUCUUUUCGCUCGUUCUCUGUUGCGCUAGGUCGGUAGGAAGGUGAGGAAGCUCGGAGAGGCGUUUGCGCACGCUCUACCGCGCCGGAGCAGCCUGGCCACGGCGAGCAGCGCCGCCGUGCCGCCAUGCAUGCUCGCCGGAGGUGUUCCGGCCGUCCUCUGGUCGAUCCAAGGGUACCGCUGGGUGCGCCUCGCUGCGGGGAGCACGUUGGUGCUCACCCCGUGGCCGGAGACCUCACCGCCGGCGAGAUCCGCUCGUCGGAGGUGAGCUCCCUCUCGGUCUCGCUGACUGGUGGGGUCGGGGACCCACUGUCAGUCGCAGGGGUACCCCGGUGGGUGUAGAUCUGGGUGAGCGUAGCGUUUUUCGUCGGUUUUCUUGAAAAAGUAUUUUCCAGAAAUUGAUUUAAAGUUUGUAAAAUCUAUAUCUUGAGUUCUACAGCUCCAAAUUGAAUGAGAUAAAUUUUGGUGUGCUCUAUAUUUCCAGAUCUACAGUUGGAUGUAAUUGCAUGUCAUGUUGGAGCAACUUUUCUGUGUGAAUAUAUUUUAUCCAUGAUUUUGUUAAAAUUGGAAAAUGCAUAGUAAAUGGAAUAUGGCUCAGAAAAAUGUGAAACUUGUUUUGCUGGCUCUGCAUGUGUGUUUACUCACUGAGAAAAUAUUGUUACAUAUUAUUUGGUGUAUAAAUGAAUUUAUGGUAAUUUAAAUGCUUGCAUGGCAGUACUUUAUGAUUUUUAAUAAUUAAUUGAGUCAUGCAAUAAAUCUGGAAAAUUUUGUGGAUGUUUCUUAUGAUAUUAGACAAAUUGUAAAAAUAUGAAAUCUGUUGUUUGACACUCAUAUCACAGUAGGGUGAUUAUACUUGCCUUAUCCAUUAAUCUUGUGAUUUUUGUGGCUCAAAAUAAGUAACCAAAAAUUAUGAAAAAUUUACAGUAGACUUUAUGAUUAGCUAGUAGUCUCCUGUAAUUUUUUGAGAAUUUAUUGAUGAACAGAAUUGCAUGUGAUUUUUAAUGGGCUUAGAAAUGAAUAAAGAAAAUUUUGAAUGGUUGUGUAUGUGGGUUGAAUGGACUAGGUUGGGUUUGGUGUAUCUUUGAAGCAUCAUGUAGGUUGCUGAUGUCAUUUGAAAAAUAAUUAUAGAAGAGAAUGUAAUAGAUGUUUGAUUCAAUUGUUUAUUCUUGGAUGAUGUUGACUACCUUGUAAUAAGCAUGACCAAGUACAUUACCUAUGCAUCAUAACAUGACUCCUUUGGUACUCUCUCGUAUAAGCAUCCACUCGGGCAUUCCGCACUCCACUCAUGAGCAUAUAUGCAUCAUACAGGCUCGCAGGAGAACGAGGUGGGAACCAAGGAACCCGAGGAGCUUCAGGAGCAGGAACCUCCGGAAGCACAAGAGCCCGGAGAGGAACUGCAGGAGUGUCCGGAUCACAGACCCAGCACGUUUGAGAAAGGCAAGCCCCGGAGCAUUCUAAGUCUCCCUAUUCUCGCUAACUUAUAUAAAGUGCUAUACUUAUUCUACUAUAUUGCAUAUUAAGUGAUAGGAGUUGCCUGAUACCGUUGCUGCAUAUGUACUCCUUGUUAUCCCUACUCGUUAUCUACCUUGUCCUAUGUAGAUAGGCGCGGAGUCUAUGCUUAGCUUGCUUAGUCCGGUAGAAGUCGGGUGAUGUCCUGUCAUCUGCGAGAUAUAGGUGGAUACCUGCUUGAUUAAGCAUUGGUUGCUCGGGGAAAGGAAUAACCCAGGGUGGAAUGAAUUUGGAGACCGGGCAGGGUCUUAUGGUGGGUUGACCAUAGUGCCCCUGUCUGUGUCGAUUAAGGACCGAUCGUUGACGGCCCUCUUGUCAUGUUGAACGCAUGCCCCACAUUUAGCUGGAAGGAUAAGUCGUUCCGACCGCGAAGCCUGAGCACUAUCCGGGCCGGGAAUCGGCCCGAUGUACGCGCUGUAUUGGUGAUGGUCGAAGAGAACGACGAGGGCGCGGCGCGCAACCUUGGUAUACCUUGGAUACCUCGGUCGCCGGAACGGUCCUCGGGUACGGGCGGUGCCUGUCGAACCCACGAAUUGGUCCUGGAUAGUGCAACACGGUGACCUGUAGCUCACUUGAUCAGUGAGUGUGGUUUGUGUGGGGAAUAAAGUCGCCAGCUGGUUAGAAAUCGAUUCGAAUCGCCAUCGCUCCUGGAUAGUGAGCACUUGACAUAAGCUUCGUCCUCGUAGUAAGGACUAUGGAACACUUGGGUUAUAAUGAAACGGGUUUAUGACUGCUGUGAUGAGGUACUAUCAUAAUCUCAUACUUGCUUGUAAUAGCACAGGAGCAAACCUAGAUAAUAGGUAAUGAUACUUUCAACUUGAGCAGAUUAAAAGAAGAAAAGAAUUAUGUAGGUUCGGAUAAUAAAACCUUGCGGUCUUUGCAAAAUGGUUGUCAGCUACCCCACUAAAUAGCCUUCAUGAUCCUUGAUGAGUCUUUAUUUUAAGUUUAUGACGGGUAAGUCUAGCUGAGUACCUUCUCGUACUCAGGGUUCUAUUCCCAUGUUGUUUUGCAGAUGGUCAAAUGUACUAUGGUUAUUGCAUCCUCUGUCUGCACCCAGCUAUGGGUGAUGACUAGACCAAGGGUGAUGGUCACUCCGUCUCUUCUUUUGCUUUUGUGGGAAUGACCGAACUAUGGCACUGUAUCAGACUUAUCGUGUGUGUUGUAUUUUCGAACUAUGAAGCUUCUGCUACUUGAAGAACUUGGUUUGUAAUAACUUUAAGCACUCCGAUGUAUUUAUGAAUGUUGUAAUCUGGAUGUGAUUGUGGAUGGCGACCGCUAAACUUAUUACGAUCUUGGCUGUAUAUGUGAUGUGUGGUUUGAAAUCCUUCGAGAUUUCACGGACUACCGGGAUUAUAUGGGCUUAAGCGUGAUAGUUCGACUAUGCAAAUGGUCACUAUUAGGCUUAAUCUCUUAUAAUUUGGUCGGUUCUGUUACAGCACCUGUCUUAGCCUAGCCAGAGAUUGAAAAGCCAUUUGAUGUGUAUUGUGACGCAUCAGAAAUAGGGAUAGGCUGUGUGCUAAUGCAGGAGGGUCGAGUAAUUGCAUAUGCUUCCAGACAGCUUAAACCACAUGAAGAGAAUUACCCGACCCAUGAUCUUGAACUAGCCACCGUAGUACAUGCACUAAAGAUCUGGCGCCAUUAUCUAUUGGGGAACACUUGUCAUCUAUACACAGAUCACAAGAGCUUGAAGUACAUCUUCACUCAAGCUGAACUUAAUAUGCGCCAGCGAAGGUGGCUAGAAUUGAUCAAAGAUUACGACCUUGAGGUGCAUUAUCACCUUAGCAAGGCGAAUGUAGUAGCUGAUGCCCUCAGUCGUAAGGCUCACUCUAAUUGUUUAACAGUGACGCCUAAAGACAUAACUUUGUGCUAAGAGCUAGAGAACUUGGGGAUAGAAAUGAUUUCCCAAGGAAGCCUUGCCAAUCUAAAGAUUGAUUUUAAUCUCGAAGCUCAAAUCAUAGAGGCACAAAAAGAAGACAAAGGCAUGAAAUAUCUGAAAGAGAAAAUCUCUAUUAGAGCACCCACAGACUUUAAGGUGGAUGAUGCAGGAGUAAUCUGGUUCAAAAACCGGUUAGUGGUUCCAAAGGUACCUGAGUUACGUCAGCAAAUCCUAGAUGAAGCUCAUACCACGAGGUAUUCUAUUCAUCCGGGAAGCAAUAAAAUGUAUCAGGACAUGAAGCAAAGGUUUUGGUGGACGAAAAUGAAGAUAGAAAUAGCUCGCUAUGUGGCCCAAUGCGACACAUGUCGAAAGGUCAAAGCUGUUCAUCUCAAAUCCGCUGGAGAGUUGCAACCCUUGCCUAUUCCAGCAUGGAAAUGGGAUGAUAUUAGUAUGGAUUUCAUAGUAGGAUUGCCCAAGACGGCCAAAGGCUUUGAUUCUAGUUGGGUCAUUGUGGAUCGUCUCACCAAAACAGCACAUUUCUUACCUGUAAAGACAUCGUAUCAUACUUCCACCUAUGCUCAGAUCUAGUUUGAUCGUAUACUAAGUCUGCAUGGGGUGCCAAAGACAAUACUGUCAGAUAGAGGCACCCAAUUUGUCUCCUAGUUCUAGAAAUCCUUACAUGAAUCUUUGGGCACCAAGCUUUUAUACAGUACCGCCUACCACCCUCAAAUAGGUGGGCAAACAGAGAGGGUGAAUCAAACCCUAGAAGAUCUAUUAAGAUCUUGUGCCCUAAAUUUUCUAGAUAAGUGGGAUGACUGCUUGCCUCUAGCAGAGUUUUCCGGCAACAAUAGCUACCAAGAAAGUAUUAAGAUGGCUCCCUUUGAGGCACUAUAUGGCCGUCGAUGUCGAACUCUGUUACACUGGUCGGAACCCGGAGAAAGAUGGUUCUUUAGGGUUGACUUAGUGAAAGAGACUGAGAACAAAGUUAGACAAAUCCAAAAUAACUUGAAAGUUGCUCAGUCCCGACAGAAAAGUUAUGCCGAUCAAAGACGUCGACCAUUAAGGUUCGCCAAGUGUGAUCAUGUGUAUUUGAAAGUAUCCCCAAUGAAAGGAGUAAAUCGUUUUGGCAUUAAAGGCAAGUUAGCGCCCCGUUACAUUGGGCCAUUUCCAAUCAUUCACCGAUGUGGACAGGUAGCUUACCGCCUUAAACUGCCCGAACGAUUAUCUAGGAUACACAAUGUAUUUCAUGUGUCUCAAUAGAAAAAGUGUCUUCGAGUAAUAGACCAAGUUCAAGAUAUCGAAGAGGUGGAACUUGAACCAGUUCUGACCUAUGCGGAAUAUCCUAUCCGAGUAUUGGAUCGCAAGGAUAGGGUUACUCGAAGAACAACUACCAAGUGGUACAAGGUGCAAUGGAGCCAGCACUCUGAAGAGGAAGCCACAUGGGAAUCUAAAGAUUAUCUAAUGGAGAAUUUUCCUGAGUUCCAUGCUUCUCUUCAAGACAACAUCUGAUAAAUAGGAAGUGUAAUCGAGUGAAUGAAAAGGGUAGCCAAAGCCAUGUACUUAAUGUACAUACAUGUUUAUAAUUGAGUAGUCUUCCCCAGCUCCUUGUAUUAUGAAAAGGUUGAAGAGGAAAUAGUUUGACAAAUUUCCUUUUCCAUUACAUACCCGAAGGCUUUAAAUCUCAGGGACGAGAUUUCUUUAAGGGGGACGGGCUGUAACAUCCCCGAUGUUACGGUUACUAAAACUGGAUCAUGUCAUCAUGAGCAUUGCAUUGCAUAUUUGUUAAGCACAUUUUUUAUGCAUCAAAUUAAAACAAUUUUAUUUUGAAUGCUUGUGCUUAGGAAAGUAAAGUGUGCUUAUGUUGUGAAGUGAUGCUUGUGUUGGUUGUUUAAUCCCUAGGGUGAAAGAUUUCCGAGAGACUAGGGGGAAAAACCCCUGAUUUUAGAACCUUAGAAUUGCCCCCUUUUGUGCAAUUUAAAAACUAAGCAAAAUUUGAAGUUGAGUUCAAAAGCAAAGUUGUAGAUCUUGUCAAGAUGUACAACUUUGGUGUUUUGAGUUUUUGAAGUUUCAAUACAAAAUUCAAAGUAAUUUUGAAAAUACAGAUUUCCAGAAAGUGUCCCCUUUUCCAAUUUGAAUCUCCAAUUCAAAAUCUAUUUGGAAUUUUGAAAAGUGACCAACAUGAAAGUUGUAGAGCUCAAAAAGUUGAACAACUUUCAUGUUGGGAGUUUUUCAAGUUGUUUUGGAAAAUCAAAAGUACUUUUGGAAAUUCUGAUCUGCCCCAAUUCAAAAAUUUGAAUUUCCCUAAAUUGAGAUUUGAAUUUCAAACUGUUUGGUCAAAUUCACUAAUUUCCACUCAGAUUUAGCUUCGGUCACCAAAAGGAUUUUUGUAGCUUGUAAAAUUCUGCACAACUUUCAUUUUGGUGGAAUUUUGUCUUCAGUUUAAAAUUUGGGCGGAUUUUGCAAAACCACAAAACGGGUUGGAUAAAGCUCGCUACAGUGAUCCGAUAGGGAUCACGGCGCCCCUGUCCAGCGCGGCCGCCGCGCGUGCAGCGCCUCGCGCAUGCGUGCGUGCACGCAGCCUGCUUGCCUGCCAGUGUCACCAGGCGACGUGGAAGCUGGGCGUCUCCUCCGUUCGUGAUAUAAGCCACUCCACCGGCCGACGUGCUCCGUUUAUUUCUCUCGCGCCCGACGCCGGUGAACUUCGUCGCCCACAAAAUUCGUCGUGUCCACUCCCUGUCCAAGCCCCCAAAGCACCUCCAGAGCUUCGCCUUGAGCUCAGCUACUCCCUGGACCCUUUGUCGCGAGCUCUAGCCUCCCCUAGCCCGCAACCGAGCCGUUCUCCUUCAAUUCCGGCCGAAGCACCGCCACAAGUACUUCACCACGGCCAGAGCUGCUCCAAGCCUUUCCAUCGCCGCUCCUUGCUCCGUUGAAGUCGCGGUGAGCUCCUGAAGCUUAUGCGCUGUUUGGUUCGCGUUCUACCCGCUUGCAGUGGCCGGUGCUCGCGCCGUUAGUGUCGCCGUCCGCCGUGGACGUGAGCAGGAGGGUUAGGAGGGAGUAGGGGUUGUCCCGUGUGUCCCAGGGGUUGCGCGAGAGGCCGAAGGUGCUAGCCCACCCUACCGCGGAGGCUGGGAGCUCUCCGGCGAUGAGCUUGAGCUCACCAGAGCCGCGACGGGAGGUGGAAGGAGAAUCUGACGGGCAGGACCCGCCCGUCAGUGGCCGCAUGAGAGGAGCAGCGCCCGCGCGCGACGCGAGAGGUUCUCAGGCCGGCUUGGGCCAAAGCCAAGCGGGCCGGCCGCAUAGCGCAGUGUGUUUUUCCUUUUUCCUUUUUGUUUAAAAAUGCUUAAUGUUUGAAUUUGAAUAGAAAAUCUUGUACUGAUUCAAAAAUCAUGGGAAUUUUUGUGUAAGUUCUAUGAAAUGAGUAGAACACAGGAAAAAUAUUAGGUUCUAUUUUCUUGUAGUUUGCAUAUUAUAAAAAUUGCCUCUUUUAAUUAGCAAAUAAAACUUCUAUGAAUUUUAAUAAUUUAAUUGUUUGUCCAAAAUAACCAAAAUUUGUGGGAUGCCUCUGAAUAUUAUUCCCUGGCUUCACACAAAAUUUGGUGGCAUUUGGAUAAUGUUUGAAUAAAAUAUUAUUAAACCCUUAAUUAGUAAUUAAAUAAUAAUUCUAGAAUAAUUAGAUAAUAAUUAGUUAAAUUCUCAAAUUACGAUUUGAGUGAUUUUGGGAUUGUGUGAUGACCUGAGGUCAUUAACCUUAAUGACCUUUGGCAUUUAAUUAUUGUUUGGCAUUAAUGCUUAAUUACUGUCAUUAAUACUUAAUUAAGAAUUAAUUAAGAUAAAAAGGAUUAAUAAUUAGUUAAUUUAGGUUAAUUAUGAAUUAAGAGGAAUCUUAGUUUACAGAUGCAACCUCUUGGGUAAAGACACUAAGAUGAUAAACAACUUUAGUUAUUGAUUAGUCUGUGUUGCACCGGGAAGGCCCGUUGUAGUUAACUCGGUCCUUCUCAAAUGUCUGUCAUACGCAUAUCAUGAGCAUCCAUCAUUUUGCGUAUAGUGCACGUGACCGAAGGAGUGACCGUUGAACCAAACCCUGAGGUCGGUGCUCCGUUCGAGGAAGUAGGAUCCGAGACUUGGAAGUCUCUGAGGAACCCCCUCAGCUCUACAACCAAGGCAAGCCCCGGAUGCAUUAACCCCUCCUUGAAUGUUUUAAAUCUUUUAUCACUUAUGAAUUGAAAAUGCUGCAUUAGGUAGUUGAGAAUUGGGUUAACCUACUUGCUGCAUUUACUACCUUGAUAUUUGUUAUCCUGUCCUUGACACCGGUUUUAUUUUAAAAUCGCGUAGUAAUGCUUAGCCCUGCUACUAGAUAGGUUUUCAAACAAUAAAGUUUGAAGAGUUGUUGUGGAAUACACUUAUGGUCAAUGAUGUUUCAACUUGAGACCGGUCGGUGGACUUACUUUAAGAAUGGAGUCUUAAAGUAGUGUCUCCAACUGUGUCGGUUAAGGACCGGUCCGUUGAUGGCCCGCUGGGUUGAGAAUUUAUAGUACUAGCCACUUACCCUCGGUAAGCCCGGUCUUGUGAUCCCUCGAUGCGAACAGCUACUCGCGCACUGGGCGUGGAGCGAUGGCGAGAGUAGUGUGUACCCACCUUACGGAUCUGAGAUGACCGGAAAACAUCUAGAUCGACUGUAGGAUGGUGGAGUACUGUGCUCUCGGGUGCCGCGAACCUAGUCAAAUUUGGGGAGAGCUUGAUUUGGGUUGACAUAUGCAAGAUAUGGUUCUACAUAUGUCGGGUGGUUAGGAACUCCAGCUGGAUUGCUAAGCGGUUCGAAUCGUCGUUUCUCCCAGAUUGGGAGACUCAAUCCAUGGACCCUCAUCGUAGCUAAAUAUGCAACUAAGUGAUAAAAUGAGGUAGGGGGAAAUGUCUCAUGAGGAUCGGAUCCCAAUUCCCGGACUCAGAGUGACAUGAAGCUAUGGCCGUUGGAUGGAUAAUACUUUGAUUUAGGACUAGGAACUCACAGACUCGUCUGUGGGAGGCAACUAGAUAGACUGUCCUCGAACUCCUCAGCCUCUUAAGGAGAGGAAUUCGCGGGUAAAACUUGAAAGUAAGGAUGCACUAUUAGUAAGCUUUUUAGCAAAACACUUUGGCUCCUUGCUCAGCCACUCCUUGCCUACCCCAAGCCUGCAUUCCUAAUUUCUCCUCUUUUAUCACCGGGUAAGUCUUGUUGAGUACUCCCGUACUCAGGGUUUUAUAACCCCUGUUGCAGGUGAAGCUCAGGAGCCGACAUGUUUCGGACCCUGUUGUGUGUCUGUCGUCGAGGUUGACGACGAGGAAGAGUGAGCGUGACCCAUGGGCUGGGUCUGUAAAUUUGUAAUUUGUGUACUAAAGUUUAAGUUGCUCCGCUGGGCCUGGCUUGUAAUAACACUCUACUAUUUGGAAGAACUCCUUUUGUAAAUUAAGUUAUGUAAUACUUCCGCUAUUUUACUCUAAAAUAUUAUUUUGGUCUUGUGUCGUCUGUGAUACUGCAAUGUCUUCGCAACGAGUGAUCCUGGUGUUAAGGUGGCCACUUGCUAUCCUGUAAGGGCGAGAAGAAGAAAUUUUCGUUAAUGGACCACUGCUGGUGGUCAAGACGAGCUUGUUUGAUACGCCACAAGUAGCGGUGGAAUGAGCAUCCUGAGAUGCCCAUCGGACUUCUAGAGUGGGAGGAUCCCCGGCAUCACCGUCAGAGGUCCUUUGGACAAUGAUAGGUGUCGGUGGGCCCAAACACUUAGGAGGUUCAGCCACAGGUUGCGGAUCUAGCACCUGCUAGAAAGCUUCCACGUGUCUAUGCGGUGCGCGAUCUGCAUGGAACAUCGGGUUAAUCAUUUGGCCACCAACCUGCUGACCGCCAAACUGCUGGCCCCCCAGAUGUUGACCACCAAAUUGCUGACCAGCGAUCUGCUGGCCGUGAUUCAUCGGCUGAUUGGCUAGCCCUUGGUUCCGGAACCCGGGAUAGAUUUGGCCUUGCUGAAACCCUAUAGCCUGAUGAUUCUGUUGGGACAUUUGUGGAAAAACUGUCUGCUCAGGCCAUCCACUGUUCGCGUUCAUCGGCAUCGGGCCUGCCGAUGACUGAUAAUUGGGCAUGAUCAUUGAACUAACAUACCCUGGCUGGGUCAUAAACCUCUGUUGCAUCAGCAUUGAGUCUGCCGAUGCAUUAGGCAUCUGGAACGUUGGAACUUGAGAGUUCCCGGUGUAAGGUCUUGCAGUAGUAGUUGUAGUAUACUGGGGACUCUGAUUCAUCGACAUAUUUGGGGGUGCCGAUGCCAUAGGAGCCUUGCCUCUCAUAUCAGUUGCCUGAGAUGUGCCAGGUGUCUUCAAGUAUUCCGGGGGCAUACCAAAACCCCACCAGUUAGGAGGAGGAACUGGUCCUAACAUCGCCGAUGCCAAUAGAUCUGUAGUAAGUUUAAUCUGCUCUGAAGUCGGCGGAUUCGUCGUCAUCGGCGUAGAUUGUGCAUUAGUGACUCCUAACGUGCUUGGAGGAACAGGAAUUUCCGUGCCCGCAGCGGCUGUAGCAGCCGAUGGAGCUGUGACCACUGGUGAUCCUGGCUGAUGAUGAGAGGGGCCCACAUAAUCUGGUGGCAAUUGUCCUUCCUUGAAAGUUCUAGCCACGGCAUUGAAAACCUUGUUGGACAACACACCAGCUUGGUUGAUCAAGGCACGGUUGAUAGCACUAUCAACCAUCUCUUGUAGUUUACCAAGAUUGGCUUCAAAAGUAACCUGCCGAGGCAUCGGCAGCGCAUCCUUCUGGAUCACUUUACCGCUCCUGUUCAUGCUGAAGGCCCUCAGGCAUUGCUGCUUGUAACCCUCUAUGGCUUUAGCGAUAGCUUGCUUCUGCUCAUCUUUGAGAUUGGCUUCCGUCACGGGGAUGACGUUCUCCUGAUCAAACUCAGUAGUCGACAUGUUGAUGUUGAUCUUGAAUCUUGUCCCACUGGGCGUGCCAAAAGAUGUGUUGAUGCAAAAGCUAGAUCUGCAAACACAAAGGGCUAAUACCCGAUUUAAACGUUAAGGCGUGCCAGCCGAUUUGACCUUACUAUCGGCAAAGGUGAUAACUCGAAUACUUUGGUCCCGACAACAGCGAUGCGCCCGGAUGCCACGACCAAGAGGUAUUCAUGCGGAACUUGAGAACACGCUGAGCUUAAGUCGACGAAUUCCUAAGAACUCGUAAUGAAAAGGAAAAAGUAUGACGAAGUCGUCGAAAUAGUAGAUGGUGGAAUAUGAGUAAAACCGGUAUUUGAUUGAUUGAUAGAUUGUUUAUUACAAUGCCCUAGGGUCUACAUUUAUACCCUGCUCAAAGAGCUACAACCAGACACGACUAGAACUCAAAUUCCAAAUUUAAAUAGAAUCCGUAUACAAAACGAUUUAAAUAACUAAGAAAAACACAAAACCAUCCUCCCGUGACAAUCUGGGACACCGCCACGGACUAAUCGGCAACCUGUGAUUCUUCCUUCCAUGUCAUCAGUAGACUCCCCAUCGGCAACAGUUAACCCUGACCAUCGUCAUAAACACAUCGUCAUUCACGGACUCAGCCAUAUCCAGCUCUCUUCUCAUCGGCAACCAUCUUCAUCGGCAAGCCUUCUGCAGACCAGUGACCAUUACCCUAUCUUGCCGAUCCACAUUCCACCGAUCCUAGAUACGUGUCAAAAAACGGUGUCAACAGUACAAUCAUAAGGUAAGUCAACAACGAGGUGAAUGCGGAGUUUUAUGAGCUAACUUUUGUCUAGAUUUUUAUUCCCUCGACUGUAUCGGCGACCUUAGACUCGAAGUCCUAACUUUUAAACGAAAAGAUAAUGAAACUUUGGGAAAAUCCUAGAAACGUUUUUCUAAUCUUUUAGAAUCUGGUCCAAACCUUAAUCUUGAAGACCCUAUUCUUUUAUUUCACUUUUUUCAUGGUCUUCAGAAAGAUCAUAAACAAAUGCUACAUACAAUGUCUAGAGGUUCUUUCUUUCGUAUCCCUACUGAUGAUGCUAGAGUAAUCCUAGAUAGAAUCCUAGAAGCUGAGAUGGAUAAUACCCUUCAUGAUGAAACCCACGAAGUCGAAGUAGACACUUUGCCAAAUUCUCCAUCUACUUUAGCUAUCCCAAGUUCUGAGCCACAAAGGAAGAAAUUCCACCACCUGAUUUCAUGUUGGAUAUAGAAUCUGAUCUUUUUGCUGAUUUUGGAAACAUUUCAAUCUACCAUUCUAUUGACAAACCCCAAAAUGGCCAUUUUAGCAUUUGUAUACCAAGUGAACAUCAAUUGAGAGAGAUUAUUGCAGUCAUGAGUAGCGAAUGGUUGGAGGAGUCAGAGCUUUCCUCUGAUGUGAUCCGUUUGGACACACCUCCUAUAACUAUACGCUGUGCUUAUGUUUCUGAUCAAUUUGAUGCUCUCUAUAAUCCUAAUGUGGGGAUCAACAUCAUGUCUGAAUCUUUUGCACUUAAAUUAUUUAAAAAUUUGAUCUUAACCCCCACAACAAAGGUUAUAAAGGAAUCUUUGGGACGAUUAGUCCCUAGUCUUGGAAUUAUUAAUGUCCUACCCUUAUUGGUAGAAGGCUCCAUGGUUCAUUUGAACUUCUAUAUCUCUAAUACAUGGGACUUCGACCUGUUGAUAGGACAACCUUUUAAAAGACUCCUUUAUGAAGGUCAUACUAGAAAGCUACACAUUUCUUUUGGAAAAACUUUUAAAUUUCCCAUAACAAUUUCGCACUCCUUAAAUAAUAAGGCCAAGUCAUAUCUUUUGCCUGAUCCUAUGGAGGAGGUAAAGGCUGCAUCGCAAGAGCUUUUAGAAGAACCAGACUUAGAAGACGAAGCUCCUUUCUUCAUAGAAGAAGAGGCCAAACCUUCUGAACCUGAACCCUUAGAUGAGUUUGCAGAAACGCCUAGACCUCCCAUAGAGCAUAAAUCUUUACCACCCGGUCUUAUCUAUGCUUUCCUAAACAAUAAUCCAGAGUUUCCUGUGAUCAUUAGUGAUAAACUCACUCAGGAGCAAACUCUACGAUUAAUGACCAUUCUUGAAAAACAUCACUCGGUUUUCGGCUACUCACUCCAAGAUCUUAUAGGAAUCAGUCCUAUGAUUUGUACCCAUCGUAUUCCGACAGAUCCUUCUGUUUCACCUUCUCGAGAGCCUCAACGUAGACUUAACAACAUGAUGAGAGAGGUUGUUGUUGACGGUCCUUAAGUAUCAAAUUUAAUUAUCAAUUAAACAAAGAAAAGGAUCCAAUUGAAAUCAACAUCUAGACUUAGGGUUUUAUUUGACAGAAUUCCACGAGUUUUGGUGUUUGUCUAUUUCUGCAGGGGGUUAUCAGGAAAUACGGAAGAAAGGCCCACACGUCCAGAUUACAUAGAGAUAUUAAUGUGCCACGCAAUUAUCUUACAUCUAGAAGACUCCACAAGCCACGGGAACGAAUUGGAGGCCAAACGGGGCCUGGUCCAGGGCGCCCGCCCUAGGGACCAGGGCGCCCGCCCCCCUCUAGAGUCCAAUCAGGACUCUCUUUCGAGAUUACGCUCCACCGACCUAAAGGAUCAAGGAUAACCGUUCAAUCAAUGUCGGUUUGAUCCAACGGCCCAUAUCCCUUGGAAGGACUAUAAACCAGACCCCCUAGCCCCUGGAGGAGAGGACUUCUCAACCCUAAUUCAUAAUUCAUCAAGGGACGAGAAGCCUCUGAUCAAGCUCUAGAUCCACCACAUCAAUUAGAUAUCUAGAUUGGCAUAGCUACAUAGGAUUAGAACUAGAAGGAGUCAAUCUUCGAUUGGUUUUCGGAUCUGUCACAAGGAUUCUUGGUAAUUCUCUAUUGUUCUUCAAUUGUUCAUCUUUGUUCUUCAAUCUUAUGAAUAUGACUUUGUUCUAUUUUAAUAUAUUGCUUAUGACUUUGCUCUACUUGUUUAUAUUCGCAAUUAUAUUGUUUUUAGUUUAUCAUAGUUAUAUACUUGGCUUAGUUAGAUUGGAUUUAUAUACAUGUUUAGGAUCGUAUAGCGUUUAUCCAUCGGAUCCAUGGGUAAAUGAUAGAUAUUGUGUAGGCGUGGUGCUUAUACUGUAUUUAUCUGCGAUAGUACCCUAUAUGCCAGACCGCGGGGUAGUUCGUGGUAGUGACAGCUCCAUUGAUUCUUAUAUAGUCCCCUCUCGUGUAUUGGGCUGGCAGAACAACAUUAUUACAGGGGAGUGAUUGCUAUGUUUCUCAUAUUCCUUGAUAAUAUCACUAUGCAUGGGCGUAGUCCUAUCUCACAAUGAUUGCUAAGUAUAAUUGCACUAACUAUGAUAUGCUAGACUAUAUAGUUGGGAAUAACUUAGGAAAUAUUCUUGUAGUUCGUUCUAAUUCCAUGAUAAUAACUUGCUAGAAUAUCUAAUUGAGGUGCAUAUCAUAUUUAUUAUGUGGCUAAGUUAUGCUGAUCAGAUUAAUUAUCUUUGUCACCAUUCAUUACUUUAUAUCCUUUAUGUGAUACUUAUCCCUGUAUGAAAGAGAUAGAUAAAUGUUCUCAAUUAUACAUGCAAUGAUAGAUACUCAAUCUUAUAUUCCAUUCUAUAAUCAACAUUGAUGAUUACUAAUCCCUUCCUAGCGGUAAAAAUAUAAAUAACCAUACCUGGAAUACUUCCCAGUUAAAAUGCUACAUCGGUAUUAAUCUAUGCGCUUGCAGAUCCCAUUCAUUAUUUAUUUACAUGAGCAAUUGCAUAUUUCUAUACCGCGUCUCUCAUGUCAUGCUGGGGAUGACAACCUGGCUUAAGUGGUACGAGGGAUAGUUUGGCAUUUUUGGCACCGUUAUCAGAAUUAGAAAACUAAGUCUACUUUUGGUAAUGACGUUAAGAAUACCCAACAAGCAUUUUUGGCGCCGUUGCCGGGGAAGGUUGAUUACUAAUCAGGAAUGAAUAUAGAAUUUAGAGUCAUCAUUCGCAUCACUAAUAUUAUUGAGCUUAUCAAUUCUGUCAUACAGUUUUACCCCGAUAUUUUUGUAUUUUAUCUUAUUCAGGGGAAUGUAUGAAUAGAAGACACCUUCCAAGAAAUUUUGUUGACAAUCCCGAAGCAUUAUUCAGAAAAACAAGAGCCAAGCUCAAGAAGAGAUCAUCAACACUUUAGCAAGAAGCUUCAUCCAAUCAAGAAGAUCACCAGAACUUGUCUUCAGAGUUCGAAGCCAUGGCGAACAAAUUGAUCCAUGAGUUCUCAGCUCCCACUACGGACAACAUCCGUACUGGACCUACUGCAGAUAUCGACGGCAACUUUGAGCGGAAGCCUGGACUUAUCAACAUGGUGCAAUCCAACCAGUUCUGUGGGAAGGCACACCAAGAUGCUAGUGCUCAUCUCCAACACUUCCUGGAGAUUUGCAACACAUUUACCAUAUCAGGAGUCCCUAGAGAUGCUAUACUACUUCGCCUCUUCCCAUUCUCACUAUUAGGAAGAGCGAAGCAGUGGUUCUACGCUACAAAGGAGAAGAAUACUAUGUGGGCACUCUGCUCCACGAACUUUCUGGCUAAGUUCUUUCCCAUGGGCAAGACCAAUGCUCUCCGUGGGAAAAUUACAUGUUUUCAGCAACAACAUGAUGAAUCCGUUCCAAAAGCAUGGGAGCGCUUCCAAGACUACAUCCUAGAAUGUCACCAUCAUGGAAUGGAGAGUUGGCUAUUAAUGCAGACGUUUUAUCAUGGGCUUGGCAAUAGUGCCUGAGAAACCAUAGAUACUGCAGCUAGAGGAGCAUUCCUAUCACUUACCAUAUCACAAGCCACAGCUCUUGUGGAGAUGAUGGCGUCCAACCAAAGCUGGAAUGAAGAAAGGACCCAGACACGCAAGAGAGGUGGAGGUAUGCAUCAGCUCAAGGAGGUAGACAUGUUGUUUGCCAAGCUAGACCUACUCAUGAAGAAGCUCGAUGAUAGAGCUGGAGAUAAGAAAGAAGUUAUGCACAUCUACGACUCUCACAUGACUUGUGAGGAAUGUGGAGAUACUAGACACUCAGGAAAUCAUUGCCCUGAGAUGCUUGAGGAUGUGAACUACAACAACAACAACUACUACUACUACAACCGUCCUCAACAAAAUCAAGGUUGGAAUCAAUAGAGGCCUAACUACUCAGGUAAUUAUCAAGGUAAUAACUCUUACAACAAUAAUAAUAAUUUUCCACCUCUGAGAGAGUUAGUGUCUAAUCAAGGAAAGCUAAUGGAUAACCUAUCUAAGAAAUUGGCAUCUAAUGAUAAAAUGCUAGAAAAUAUAAAUAAUAGAAUGGAUAAUUUCUCUACUGCCAUCAAGAAUCAAAUUAGCUUUAACAAAAUGAUCGAAUCUCAGUUAAAUCAAAUAGCUGUUGCUGUUCCUACUGCUAACCCCGGUAUACCAUCACAACCGGAAGGAUUAGAAUCUGCAAAUCUUGUAGACAUGUUUGAUGCAGGUAACUACUGGAGUAACCCCGUAAGUGAAGUUACUACUGACCUUCUGCCGGUCAAGAGAGGCGAUCCAGGACGCCCCGUCAUCCCGAUCUCCAUCGGCAUGGUGGACGUCCCAGAAGCACUCUGCGACUUUGGCUCUAGUGUCAAUAUUAUGCCCAGGGUACUCUAUGAAAAAUUCUUUACAUAUCCUUUAUUAGAAACAACCAUGUGUUUGCAGUUUGCAGAUCAGGCGUUAAGUUUCCCAAAGGGAAUAUUGAAGAACCUUUGUGUCCGAGUUGGUACCUUAUACGCCCCAGCAGACUUCGUGGUGAUAGAGACCGGUAAUGAUGAGAGGGCACCCAUCAUCUUUGGGAGGCCAUUCUUAAACACCUCGGGAGCUGUCAUCUAUGCUAGUGCUGCCAAGAUCAAUUUCUACAUCAAAGGGAGGAAGGAGACGUUUUCCUUCAAGAACAAGGCUACACAAAUCCCGGAGCAAUCCCGACAUGAACCAAGGAAGAGGACCAAUAGGAGGAACAGGAACAAGCAAGUGUGGACCGAGUCAGCUAAGAUGGUCACUGCAAUUCAAUGAGGUCAAGAUCAUCAACUUAAGUCACCAUUUCUGACCAAGAAGGAUGACUCAGGAAUGCCAAGCAUCUAUUGCUCCAUAAAUGGAUACAACUUCUACAAGACAACUUGCGACACCGGAUCGGGCGUCAACAUAACGGCCGCAGUCACCUAUCGACUCUUGUUCGGAACCAUGCCCCUAAAACCAACAUACAUUCAGCUCCAGAUGGUAGAUCAGACAUUUCGAAAAGUUAAAUGAUUAGUAACUGAUGUCCCUAUCAAAACAGACGAUCAUCUUGUCUACACAGACUUUUAGGUUAUUAACAUGAGAGAAGACGAAUACGAUCCACCCAUCAUGCUUGGAAGACCGUUCCUCAGCACCGUUAAAGCAAUCGUCUACAUUAGAACUGGAGAAGUCCACAUGCACUUCCCCUCAGAGAAGGUACGCCGCUAUUUUAUUGACCCUAAUUAUAUCGUUGAAGAUUCUAAGCAGGUCAGGACAAGAAGAAGACAACGCAACCGCAACAAGAGGAGGCAAAUCUUCAAGGACGGAUGGGCAGACUAUGAAGGAGAAGUGGUAAGGUCUGAAGACAUACAGCUUGAACAGAAUUAUCCUGAGGAGACCGUAGCACCAAGUCAGGUGUGGAGAGAGAAGAUACACGAAGAGGAGGCGCUGCCGGAAGCACCGACUACGCCACCCAACGAAUCCCAGGACAAUUGAUAAAGCGGAGAGUCCCGUUCGGAGAACUUAAAAACACCGAACGCCUUGCCAAGAGGUAAACUUAGUAGUUAUCCUUUCCCUUUCAAAUAUUUAAAAUAGUUUAUUUAGUUAAUUAUAUUCAUACUAUCAUAAAUGAAAAUAUAAAUGUUAAAAAAUAGUAAGCCCCAUGUGAGUAUACGAGUGGCAUAAAACCCAUAAGUACAUUCACUGUGGUGGCAUAAAAAUAAAAUAAAUACUUCUUUUUUUCUUUAUAAAACAAAAAUAUAAAAAUAAGAGAGUAAUAUUUAUUGAGGAGGCUCAACAUGAUAAAGGCUAGAUAUUUAUGAUAACACUUAACCAGUUUCACAAAGCUUUGUUGUCUAUUUGAGCUCCACAGAUUCAAGAAUCAAGAAGACUAGCAGACGGAGGACAUUCUAAUCGUUGUCAGGGUGCUGCCGACUUUCAAAUACACCUCUGCCAUCUGCUAGCUACAUGAAGAGAAAUUACGUCAAAAUUCAGCUUGGGGGAGAGCACCCCCAUUUAUCUCGCUAAGUAUUUCUAUCUAUCUUUAUACUUAUACUAUAAUAAAAUAUAAAUAUACAUUACUAUGAAAAACCAAAUUAAGAUUUUUUUGCUUAUAUAUCUUUUGCUUACUGUGUUUAAUAAAUAAAUAAAGUGGCUAUGCUAAACUAAAUCUUAAUAAUAAAACUCUAGCAUGGAUAUGAUGAAUAGUUGCUCUGCCUAAUUUUCAAAUUGGAGUUCUCUCUCUAGUUUAGACAUAACUGUUAUAAUUUAAAGCUUGCUCUAAACCUAAACUUGUGGGAAGAAAGUUUGAUCUAAAGUCUAAGUUGUUAACGGAUAUGAUAUGAGAAGGUUGAGCUGUUGUUUAUCUGUUCCUAGAGAUGCUGGAAUUCUGGAGAAUUUUAUCUUUUAAAAUAUUUGAAAUAUCACAUGAUGAGUUCAUGUAUGAUGAGAGUUUAAAUUCCUACCACAGCCAUAUAUACAUGCUUGCUAGACUUUGAGCCACACAUUUACUUUUACUGCUUAUGAGCAUUGAGUGUGGUCAAGCUGUGUAGACCCUUAGGAGCUUGUCAUGUGGUUAAAUCAAGAUUCACUUGCACGUUCACUCACACAUGCUGCUUCUACUCCGGGAGUAGCAUCUACAUAUAUCCACCCAUUUCCAUCUCCAGAACCACCCGAAAAUAUUCAACUCCGAAUCCGGGAGAGAAUAGCCAAAAAUAUUUCUAUUUUUCCCCUGUGAAAUAAAUGCUCAAGUUAUCUUGGUUACUACCACUUGCUAUUUAUUUCAAGAGAUGAGUGCUCUAAAAAAAGAGAGAGAAGAUACGAGGAAAUAAAAAGGGGCAAGUGCCCGGAACCUCGAAAGAAAAGAAAAAGUGAGACGAGAGGUAAAAAUGGACAAGUGUCCGACAGUAGAAUUAGGGGUACAAAAUAACCACCUGAGAGAAAGAAAAAGAAAAUACAGAGCAUCUCAUUCUCCCCCCAAAGUUUUAAAAAGCAAGAAAGGUAUGUAUCCCCUCAAAAGAGCAAAAGUUGAAUUAGACUUUCACCAUUGUUAUCACCAUCAUUACCAUAUACCAUUCAUUUUCCACACAUGCACAUCUUGAUUUGACUUAAUGAUUUGUUUCUUUGGAUCCAUGGUUUGACUAUACAAUAAAUGUCUUGUAAGUAUGUAUAUUUUAUCUCCCACCUAUGAGCUCCAGAUAUUAAAGCCUUAUUAGAGUAGGGUGAGAGAGAAGGCAAUGUCACUAUGACUUAUACCACAAAUACUACAUACUUUGAGAGGGAAGGCAUAUACCAUCACUGACUUGGUAAGGAUCCAGAAAUACCACAAAAGAGAGAUCUGAGAGAGUCAUACAAAGGAAUCUCUGAGUUUUAUUUGAAAAUCUGCAAAAACUCCAGAGCUAUAGCUGAUCAAGCAUAAGAGACUUGGCACGUGACUAGACUGUUCUAUCUUUUAACUACUCAAGACGGAAGUGACGGUUACAAGUCCCACGGUGAAAGGUAAAAUAAGUAAGUUUUAAGUCUUGACAGUUUACUCUAACUCAGAGAUGAGAUCAUAUUUAAACGCAUGUGUACCGUCAACUUUUUAAUGGUAUUACAACAUCUUCUGAUCCAUCACUGAGAUUUUUACCACUGGGAGUUGUUGAUGGUCCUUAAGUAUCAAAUUUAAUUAUCAAAUAAACAAAGAAAAGGAUCCUAAUGAAAUCAACAUCUAGACUUAGGGUUUUAUAUGACAAAAUUCUAUGAGUUUUGGUGUUUGUCUAUUUCUGCAGGGGGUUAUCAGGAAAUACGGAAGAACGGCCUAUACGUCGGAAUUACAUAGAGAUAUUAACGUGCCGCGCAAUUAUCUUACAUCUAGAAGACUCUAGAAGCCACGGGAAUGAAGCGGAGCAAAACGGGGCCUGGCCCAGGGCGCCCGCCCCCCUCUGGAGUCCAAUCAAGACUCUCUUUUGGGAUUACGCUCCACCGACCUAAAGGAUCAAUGGUAACCGUUCAAUCAAUGUCGGUUUGAUCCAACGACCCAUAUUCACUUGGAAGGACUAUAAAACCAGACCCCCUAGCCCCUAGAGGAGAGGACCUCUCGACCCUAAUUCAUUAUUCAUCAAUUGAGAAGAAGCCUCUCAUCAAGCUCUAGAGCCACCACAUCAAUUAGAUAUCUAGAUUGGCAUAGCUACAUAAGAUUAGAACUAGAAGGAGUCAAUCUUCGAUUGGUUUCCAGAUCUGUCAUUAGGAUUCUUGGUAAUUUUCUAUUGUUCUUCAAUUGUUCAUCUUUGUUCUUCAAUAUUAUGAAUAUGACUUUGUUCUACUUCAAUAUAUUGCUUAUGACUUUGAUCUACUUGUUUAUAUUCACAAUUAUAUUGUUUUUAGUUUAGCAUAGUUAUAUACUUGGCUUAGUUAGAUUGGAUUUAUAUACAUGUUUAGGAUCGUAUAGCGUUUAUCUAUCGGAUCCAUGGGUAAAUGAUAGAUAUUGUGUAGGCAUGGUGCUUAUACUGUAUUUAUCUCCGAUUGUACCCUAUAUGCCAGACCGCGGGGUAGUUCGUGGUAGUGACAGCUCCAUUGAUUCUUAUAUAGUCCCCCUCUCGUGUAUUGGGCUGGCAGAACAACAUUAUUACAGGGGAGCGAUUGCUAUGUUUCUCAUAUUCCUUGAUAAUCUCACUAUGCAUGGGCGUAGUCCUAUCUCACAAUGAUUGCUAAGUAUAAUUGCACUAACUCUGAUAUGCUAGACUAUAUAGUUGGGAAUAACUUAGGAAAUAUUCUUGUAGUUCGUUGUAAUUCCAUGAUAAUGACUUGCUAGAAUAUCUAAUUGAGGUGCUUAUCAUAUUUAUUAUGUGGCUAAGUUAUGCUGAUCAGAUUAAUUAUCUUUGUCACCAUUCAUUACUUUAUAUCCUUUAUGUGACACUUAUCCCUGUAUGAAAGAUAUAGAUAAAUGUUCUCAAUUAUACAUGCAAUGAUAGAUACUCAAUCUUAUAUUCCAUUCUAUAAUCAACAUUGAUGAUUACUAAUCCCUUCCCAGUGGUAAAAAUAUAAAUAACGAUAUUUGGAACACUUCCCAGUUAAAAUGCUACAUCAGUAUUAAUCUGUGCGCUUGUAGAUCCAAUUCAUUAUUUAUUUCUAUGAGCAAUUGCAUAUUUCAAUACCGCGUCUCUCAUGUCAUGCUGGGGAUGACAACUUGGCUUAAGUGGUAUGAGGGAUAGGUUUGGCAUUUUUGGCGCCAUUAUCAGAAUUAGAAAACUAUGUCUACUUUUGGUAAUGACGUUAAGAAUACCCAACAGUAGUUAAAAAGGAAGUUAUAAAGUUGUUGCAUGCAGGGAUUAUAUAUCCUGUGCCGCACAGUGAGUGAGUGAGCCCAGUUCAAGUUGUGCCUAAAAAGGGAGGCAUGACUGUCGUUAUGAAUGAAAAGAACGAGCUAAUUCCACAACGCACCGUCAUAGGGUCGCGGAUGUGCAUAGACUAUAGAAAACUAAACAAAGCCACAAGAAAGGAUCAUUUUCCUUUACCUUUCAUAGAUGAGAUGCUAGAUCGAUUAGCGAACCAUUCGUUCUUCUGUUUCUUAGAUGGGUAUUCAAGGUAUCACCAGAUCCCGAUCCAUCCUGAUGAUCAAAGCAAAACCACUUUUACAUGCCCAUAUGGAACUUAUGCUUACUGUAGAAUGUCUUUUGGGUUAUGUAAUGCAGCAGCUUCUUUUCAACGAUGCAUGAUGUCUAUAUUUUCUGAUAUGAUUGAAGAGAUUAUGGAAGUUUUCAUGGAUGAUUUCUCUGUUUAUGAAAAAACUUUUGAUUGUUGUCUUGAAAACUUAGACAAGGUUUUGCAAAGAUGUGAAGAAAAGCACUUAGUCCUUAAUUGGGAAAAAUGUCAUUUUAUGGUUAGGGAUGGAAUAGUGCUGGGACACCUAGUGUCUGAAAGAGGUAUUCAGGUAGACAAAGCUAAAAUUGAAGUAAUUGAACAACUACCUCCACCUGUGAAUAUAAAAGCAAUUCGAAGCUUUCUUGGCCAUGCUGGUUUUUAUCGCAGAUUCAUAGAAAGAUUUUUCAUUCAUUGCUAGACCACUUACUCCUUUGCUAGCCAAGGAUGCCCCUUUUGAAUUUGAUGAUGCAUGCCUGUUGGUUAUUCUUAACAUCAUUACCAAAAGUAGACUAAGUUCUCUAGAUCUAGUAACGGUGCCAAAAAUGCCAAACCUAUCCCUCACACCACUUAAGCCAAGUUGUCAUCCCCAGCAUGACAUGAGAGACGCAGUAUUGAAAUAUGCAAUUGCUCUUCUAAAUAAAUAAUGAAUGGGAUCUGCAAGCGCACAGAUUAAUACCGAUGCAGCAUUUUAACCGGGAAGUAUUCCAGGUAUCGUUAUUUAUAUUUUUACCACUGGGAAGGGAUUAACAAUCAUCACUAUUGAUUACAGAAUAGAAUAUGAGAUUGAGUAUCUAUCAUUGCAUAUGUAAUUGAGAACAUUUAUCUAACUCUUCAUACAGGGAUAAGUGUCACAUAAAAGAUAUAUGAAUUAAUGAAUAGUGACAAAGGUAAUUAAUCUGAUCAGCCACAUAAUAAAUAUGAUAAGCACUGUUGACACUUGCUAACACCACUUGAAUACUAGGUUGUCAUCCCCAGCAUGGCACUAGAGUGUACUAUGGUAUUUAUAUGCACACAGAUAAUCCGCAAGCGCACGGAUACCGUUGAAGCUUUUACCCGGUUAAAGGUUUUAUCGUAUCCACAGGGAAACGGGAGAACCGACUACGCUCUAACUUAACCAAGAUAGAUAGAUAGGUGUAAAUAGGAAAGAUGGUAGAAUCGAGUAAGAACAAUAUUAAAGGUAAGAUAACAGUGAGUGAUAAUAUGGGAAUAGAGAAUAGAGCAAUUCUAGUAUAUGGGCGAUGGUAGCAGAAUAGAGAGUAUAACUAUGGUUUCUCUACUUGAAUGGGGUAUGUCUAUGUCUGGGACGAACCACGUGAUAAGAGUACACCACAAAGGAUGCUAUCCUUAGGCCGAUAAACCCUACCCAUCCUGCUAACGAGAGGUGGACUACAGAGGACCAACAUAACUGUCACCUACGCGGCCUACCACACGAUCCAGCUAGACAGGGGAUAUCCACAAGUAAUCUAGGUCUAAGCACCUCGCUUACACCUAUACUACAACUCUCACCUAUAGCGUCCUAUAGAUUAAAGUACUCAAAAGAGUUGUGAAUAGAGCAUACAUAAUUAGUAAUUGCAUAAUGAAUUAGAAGUAGAUUACCAGAGUCAUCCCAUGAGCAAGCUUGAUUAGAGCUUGAUCAUGACGAAGUACAACAGGAGGAAGAACCGACAGGCCGGCCUCUCCUCUAAUCCUCCUUCGCUCUCCAUCUUGCUACUAUCUAGAUCUACUCUAGUUUAGAGAAGAGAGGAGAGCUCUCAUCUCUAAACCCUAGCUCUUGCUCUGUCUAUGAAUGAAUAAUGAUCAAGGGAUGCCUCCUCCAGGGGCUAGGGGGUCUGGUUAUAUAGUCCCCUCAAGUGAACCUGGGCCGUUGGAUCAAACCGACAUUGAUUGAAUGGUUAUUCUUGAUGUAUUAGGUCGGUGGAGCAUGAUCCGCGAAGUUGAAGAGAAUUGGUUACUUUAGCUGGGCGGGCACCCAAGGGACUUGGGCGGGCGCCCUGCCCCCGGGCCCGAUCGGCCUCCCGUUCGUUCCCGUGGCUUCUGGAGUCUUCUAGAUGGUAGAAAAUUGUGCGGCACGUUAAUAUCUCUAUGUAAACCCGACGUGUGGGCCUUUCUUUCAUAUUUCCUGAUAACCCCCUGCAGAAAUAGACAAACACCAAAACUCGUGGAAUUCUGUCAGAUAAAACCCUAAGUCUAGAUGUUGAUUUCAUUUAGAUCCUUUUCUUUGUUUAUUUCAUAAUUAAAUUUGAUACUUAAGGACUGUCAACAAACUCCCCCAAGCUUACCUCUUGCUCGUCCCUGAGCAAGUAUAGACUCAGCAAUGGAUCAGAAGUUGUUGCAAUAUCUUAAAAAUUUGACGGUACACAUGCUUUUAAAUAAGAUCUCAUCUCUGAGUUAGAGUAAACUGUCAAGAACUAAAACUUACUUACUUUACCUUUCACCAUGGGGCUUGCAACCGUCACUUGUGUCUUGAGCAGUUAAAAGAUAGAACGGUCAAGUCAAGCGCCAUGUAUCUUAUUCUUGAUCAGCUGUAGCUCUGGAGUUUUUGUAGAUUUUCAAAUAAAACUCAGAGAUUCCUUGUAUGACUCUCUCUAGUCUCUCUUUUGUGGUAUUUCUGGAUCCUUUCCAAGGCAGUAAUGGUAUAUGCUUUCUCUCAAAGUAUGUGGUAUUUUUGGUAUGAGGCAUAGUGAUAUUGCAUUCUCUCUCACCCUACUCUAGUAAGAUUUGAUAUCUGGAGCUCAUAGGUGGGAGACAGCUAAUACAUACUUACAAGACAUUUAUUACAUAGUCAAACCAUGGAUCCAGAAGAACAAGUCAAUAACUCAAAUCAAGAUGUGCAUGUGUGGCGAGUGAAUGGUGUAUGGUGAUGAUGGUGAUAACAAUGGUGAAAGUCUAAUUCUACUUUUGCUCUUUUUAGGGGAUACAUACCUUUCUUGCUCUUUGAAUCUUUUUGAGGAGAAUGAGAUGCUCUAUAUUUUCUUUUUCUCUCUUUUUUUUGUUUCUCACGUGGGUAUCUUUGUACCCCUAAUUCUACUGUCGGACACUUGUCCAUUUUUACCUCUCGUCUCACUUUUUCUUUUCUUCGAGGUUCCGGGCACUUGCCCCUUUUUAUUUUCUCGUAUAUUUUUUUUCUCUUCUUUUUUUAGAGCAUUCAUCUCCUGAAAUAAUGUAGCAAGUAGUAGUAACCAAAAUAACUAGAGCAUUUAUUUCACAUGGAAUAACAGGGAUAGGAAAAUAUUUUUGGCGAUUCUCUCCCGGAUUAGGAGUAGAAUAAUUUUGGGUGAAUCUGGAGAUGGAAAUGAGUGGAUGUAUGUGGAUGCGUACUUCUGGAGUAGAAGCAGCAUGUAUGAGUGAACGUGCAAGUGAAUCUUGAUUUUAACCGCAUGACAAGCUCCAAAGGGUCUACACAGCUUGACCACACUCAAUGCUCAUAAGCAGUAAAAUUAAAUAUGUGGUUUAUAGUCUAAUAAGCAUGUAUAUAUGGCUUUGGUAAGAUUUUAAACUCUCAUCAUACAGGAACUCAUCAUGUGUUAUUUUAAAGAUUUUCAAAGAUAAACAAUAGCAUUCUAGCAUCUCCAGAAUUCUAGCAUCUCCAGGAACAGAUAAACAACAGCUCAACCUUCCCAUAUCAUAUCCGUUAACGACUUAGACUUUAGAUCAAGUACCACUAGUUUAGGUUUAGAGUAGGUUUAUUAUAACAGUUAUACCUAAACUAGAGAGAUUUCAAUUUUAAGAACUAUUCAUGACAGAGCAACUAUUCAUCAUUUCCAUGUGAGAGCUUAUCAUGAGGGUUCAUAGCAAACUUUAUUUAUUUAUUUAUUUAGCAAACUAAGCAAAGGUAUAUAUAUAAAAGCACAAAAUCUUUAUUUGGGUUUUCAUGAUUAUGCAUCUUUUAUUAUUUGAGUAAAGUAUAAACACGAGUAGAAACACUUAGCUAGAUAAAUGGGGGUACUCUCCCCCAAGAUAGAUUUUGACGUAAUUUCUUCUGAUGUAGCUAGCAGGUGACGGAGGUGUAUUUGAAUGUUAGCAGAACCCUGACAGCGAUUAGGAUAUCCUCCGUCUGCUAGUCUUCUUUGAUCCUUGAAUUCUGUGGAGCUCAAAUAGACAACAAAGCUUUGUGGAACUGGUUAAGUGUUAGCAUAAAUAUCUAGCCUUUAUCAUGUUGAGCCUCCUCAAUAAAUGUUAUUUAUUUAGCAGGAUCAUGCACUUAUUAUUUAUUGUAAGAUGAAAACAUAUUUAUUUUGUGCCACCACAGUGAAUGUACCUAUGGGUUUUUAAACCACAAGUCUACUCACAUGGGGCUUACUAUUUUUAACAUUUUUAUUUUCUUUUCGAGAUGAUAUGAACCUGAUUAACUAAGCAAACUAUUUUAAAUAGUUGGAAGAAAAAAAGAUAACUACCAAGUUUACCUCUUGGCAAGGCGUUCGGUGUUUUUAAGUCCUCCGAACCGGACUCUCCGUUUUCUCAGUCGUCCUAGGAUUCACUGGAUGGCGUAGUCGGUGAUUCCGGUGGCGCCUCCUCUUCGUGUAUAACUAUCUUCUCCCUCCACACCUGACUCGGUGCUACGGUCUCCUCAAGACAGUUCUGCUCAAGCUGUAUAUCUUUGGACCUUAUUACAUCUCCUUUGUAGUCUGCCCAUCCGUCCUUGAUGAUUUGUCUCCUCUAGUUUUGGUUGUGUUGUCGUCUUCAGAGGGAAGUGCAUGUGGACUUCUCCGGUUCCAAUAUAGAUGAUGGCUUUGAUAGUGUUGAUGAAUGGUCUACCAAGGAUGAUGGGUGGAUCAUACUCGUCUUCUACCAUGUCAAUGACCUAAAAAUCAUCUGGAGCUGAAUAUAUAUUGGUUGUAGGGGCAUGGUUCCAUGCAGAAGCUGAUAAGUAACUGCAGCCAUUAUGUUGACGUCAGAUCCGGUGUCGUAGAGUGUCUUCUGAAAAGAGUAUCCGUUGAUUGUGCACUCGAUGCUUAGAACACCAGGGUCGUCCUUCUUGAUCAGGAAAGGCGACUUGAGUCGACAAUCUUGACCUCCUCCGACAAAGAUCCAAUGUUUUAAGUCUUCUGGACAAGACUUCUCACCGUCUUCAUCAUUUAGGUGCAUCAUUUGAUUAGGUGUGUACCUUGACGUCUACACCUCUUGAUACGGAGUCACCCAUGUUCUUCGUUUGCCCAG